CGCUGCUGACCUCUGCCGCACUGACUGCGAAGGUCGCCGCACUGAAGCAGGACCUCGAGGGGUCCGAGAAAGAGCUCAUCCUUGCUAAGAGGCAGCUCGAGGAGAACAAAGGUAAGUAAUACCUAGUCUAUAGAUAUGUAUAUAUACAAAAAGGAUGCGAUUGCAAAAUGACAGGAUCAUCUUUAAUUUGCCAGGGGCCAUGACUGAAGUGGCAACCCUGAAGCAAGCGCUAUCCGAGGCCGAAAACAAAGCGGCCCAGGAGCGCACCGAGCGGGAAAAACAAGAGGCACGGGUGGGUGAGGUGAAGCAAGAGCUCCACGCUCUCGUGACGAAGCACGAGGCAUUGGAGCUUGACUUGAAGACGCGAGAGUCCGAGCUUGCCGCGGCCCUUGAGAGUGCAAAGAGUGCCAAGGCUGGAGCCCAAAAGGCCCUCUAGGAGAUUGAUGCGAUGAAGAAGAUAGCGGCGGGUAAGGCAUUCAAUAUGCAAAGCAAGCAUGUGAAAGUAAAUUACUUGUUACUUACAUGAGUUCGGAGCUCUCCAGGAGCAUUCGCAGAUUUGCCCCGCAGCGUGUCGGAUGCCGCACAGUUUUACCAGGCCGAGGAGGGAAGCUCAACGGAGAAGCUGUUCUAGUCUCAGUAUACUGGGACCGAACACCUGAUGCCUCUGAGCGACCAGCUGAAGCAACUGGUCGAGCUACACAAGGCGGCCGAACAGGCCAUGAAGGGCUUUAUAGUCCGGAUGUGGCCUGGCGACGCCCUUCCCAAUAGCUACUUCGGCCUGGUGAGGCGGCUUGUGGAUGCCUGCCCACGGCUGGAAGUCAUCAAGCGGUCCGUCUGCAUCGAAGGUGCACGCCAGGCUUUCGCCCGUGCGAAGGUGCACUGGGCCAAGAUGGACGCCGUGAAGCUGGUGAAGAAAGGGCCACCACAGAGCAAGGAGCAUCGCCACCCCGAGAUGUACUAUGUGGGUGUCCUGAAGGGUGCCCGUCUUGUAGCGGACGAGUGUGCGAAAGAUGUAAUAUUUGAAUAAACUUGCUCGUGUAAUCCUGUAUUAUGAAAACUUGUUCAUAUGCGCUAUGCAACGCUUGUUUGAAUUAAAAAUAUUACCUUCUGUUUGGCUGUUUAUCAAAUCUGAGAGAUGGCUAGUCGUCGGCUUCUGCCCCCACGCCACGAGUGUUGGGGUGUUCGGGAUAAACCUGAGCAUUCUUGUUCCCAUUUUUGGGUCCUUCGAGGGAGGAGCUCGGCACAACGAACAAGGCAACCAGACUAUAAUGCGUUAUCACUCUCACUUAGCCAUAGAAUUCUAUAAUUUUAAAUUUCGGCGAAGCCCCUAGUAUUCGGAAGGCCGAAUUCGGGGCGCUAUACACGCCUUAAAGCCGGACAGGGCCGACUCCUCGCUCUAAGUGGCAUAAGUAUUUAGGGACUUGAAACCUCUCGAACAGCGACCAGUCUCUCGCCUUAUCAUGACAGUCAGUUUUAGCUUUCUCUACUGAGGUGCUUAGCCCAGCAGAACCGGGGCACAAUCGCAGUAGUUCUCCCAGUGCUACCUUAGCCGAUAUAGCAGAACAUAAGGUACCAAAACAUGGGAGCCGGGCAAACCCAACUAUUGACCCAAGACAUGAUUCAGAGCUAAUGCAUAUAAUGCUGUAAGUUCGGGGUGCCGCACUGUCGAAAGUGUUCGGACUUCUCACGCCAUAUUAUGGGGUAUGCCUAAGCCCCUAGUGUGUUGGCCGUACCAGAGUGUACGGGUGCUAGAUGUCAUGAAUGAACAUAUAUAUAUAUAUAAAGGAAGAAUGCAAUAAUAGUCUUAAUGCUAUGCAUUGUUUAUUCAAAAAGGUGCGUUAAAGCAGAAUGAUACAAGUAGUGCGAUAAGCAAAAAGUAGGACUGUUUGACAUGUCCCUUCCAAGGGCAAGCUGAGGAAUAGUAUUAAAGCAAGUAUUUCACUCGUUAUCGUAAUCCACCUGGGAGUUCCAUGGUGUGACGUAGCUUUCUGCCUCCUUGGUUGCUGCAUCAUGUGUUUGGCAAUCAUGCUGCCGGAUAGGGCUUCCAGAGAUUAAAGUCCUGAAAGAGAAAAAUAACAAUGCGGGAAGCCCCUAGUGCGGUUUAAGCCGCGUCUUGGAGCAUGCCAUAGUCGUGCCCCCCUCCACACAUGUGCCCAUGGUAUUUUUAAUGCGUAAUUAUGUACGCAUGGCACGGAUUUCGCCAUUUGGCUGCGACCGGGGUGGGGGCCGCAUUGCUAUGCGAGCUCGGGACGUGCCAGGCGGUCCUGUUGCCGAUUACUCCGGGCGCGCUUGAAGGUGUCCGGGUCCUUAAUCGCCAAACUAGUAGAUUGCCUUAAGAGGCUACUUUGCGCUUUUGCUGCGAGGGCCGCAGUGUGCUCCUCCGUGCGGAGAGAGCGCUCCGUGUUUCCAUUGACUGUGAUGACCCCCCGAGGUCCUGGCAUCUUGAGCUUGAGAUAUGCAUAAUGCGGUAGCGCAUUGAAUCUCGCAAAUGCGGUUCGCCCGAGCAGUGCAUGGUAGCCACUGCGGAACGGGACUAUGUCAAAGAUUAACUCUUUGCUUCGGAAGUUAUCCGGGGAUCCGAAGGCCACUUCCAGUGUGACUGAGCCUGUGCAAUGGGCCUCUAGACCAGGUAUGAUGCCUUUAAAGGUCGUUUUUGUGGGUUUGAUCCUUCAGGGGUCUAUACCCAUUUUGCGCACUGUGUCCUGAUAAAGCAGGUUCAGGCUGCUGCCGCCAUCCAUAAGGACUCGAGUGAGGUGAAAUCCGUCGAUGAUUGGGUCUAGGACCAGUGCGGCGAAUCCGCCAUGACGGAUACUAGUGGGGUGGUCCCUACGAUCGAAGGUGAUCGAACAGGAGGACCAUGGGUUGAACUUUGGGGCGACUGGCUCCAACGCAUAUACGUCCCUGAGCGCACGCUUCUACUCCCUCUUGUGGAUAUGGGUUGCGUUUACCAUGUUCACUGUCUGCACUUGUGGGGGAACCUCUUUUGUCCUCCGGUGUUCGGCUGUCGGGGCUCCUCCUCGUCAUCGCUAUGUGACCCCUUAUCUUUGUUUUCGGCAUUUAACUUGUCGGCCUGCUUGAACACCCAACAAUCCUUGUUGGUGUGGUUGGCUAGCUUGUUGGGGGUGCCGUGUAUUUGACACGAGCGAUCGAGUAUACGGUCCAAACUGGACGGGCCCGGAGUGUUUCUUUUGAAUGGCUUUUUCCGCUGAUCGGGUUUAGAGCCUUUGAAUCCGGCAUUGACUGUCGUAUCCUCAGUAUUGUCGCUGUUAAUGCGGCGCUUAUGUUUGUUGCGACGUGACCUGCCGUUGCCGUCCUUGGUAUCCGAAGUACCAUGGUUCUUUGAUAUGUUAUUGUUACGAGCCAACCAGCUGUCCUCUCCCACACAAAAGCGGGUCAUGAGUGUUGUGAGGGCUGCCAUAUAUUUCGGCUUUUCCUGGCCAAGGUGCCGGGCGAGCCAUUCGUCGCGGAUGUUGUGCUUAAAAGCUGCUAGGGCCUCUGCAUCCGGACAAUCGACGAUUUGAUUUUUCUUUGUUAGGAACCAUGUUCAGAAUUGCCUGGCCGAUUCCUCUGGUUGCUAAAUUAUGUGGCUCAAGUCAUCGGCAUCUGGUGGUCGCACAUAAGUGCCCUGAAAGUUGUCAAGGAAUGUGGCUUCCAGAUCUUCCCAACAGCCAAUGGACUCUGCUGGCAAGCUGUUGAGUCAAUGCCGAGCUGGUCCUUUGAGUUUGAGUGGGAGGUAUUUGAUGGCGUGUAGGUCAUCACCGCGGGCCAUGUGGAUGUGUAGGAGGAAAUCCUCGAUCCAUACCGCAGGAUCUGUUGUGCCAUCGUAUGAUUCUAUAUUUACGAGUUUGAAACCCUCUGGGAUUUGAUGAUCCAUUACUUCGUCUGUGAAGCAUAAGGGGUGUGCGGCGCCUCUGUACUGGGCUAUAUCGCGAAGCAGCUCAAAUGAGUCUUGCCCGCUGUGUUCGGCCCGGCCGGACUUACUUUUACUAUAUCCGGCGUGACGAUUAUCGUCUCGCAUAGUGGCGCUCCCUCGUGAUCCGUAGAUCGAUCUUGCAUGUUUUGCUUUGUCCUCCAAUACGUCUCGCAGGUCUGGCGUAUUUCCCCAUGCCUUUUUAUUUGAAUGGCGUCGGGUUGCGGGCUGAGCUUUUGGCUGGAAUGCCUCUCUGUCGCGGCCACGAGGUGGCCGAUCAGCCGCGUCAUACGCCGGGGAUGUAGGUUUCGGUGCUUCCUCCUCCAGUCGGGGUAGCAACCUGCACUUUGGGUAACUCUUGGAGGGGCAUUCGAGUUUAUAUUCCUCGGCCGCCAGGACUUCAGUCCAUCUGUCAGCUAGCAAAUCUUGAUCAGCUUGAAGCUGCUGCUGCUUUUUCUUAAGGCUAUUUGCCAUGGCUAUAAGCCGGCGCUUGAAGCGCUCUUGUUUGACGGGAUCCUCUGGCACAACGAAUUCUUCAUUGUCAAGGCUUGCCUCGUCUUCGGAGGGAGGCAUGUAAUUAUCAUCCUCCGCCUCUCCAUCUGCCAUUCUCUCAGGAGGGCUGGCUUCUCCAUCCUCCUGCUCUAAAUCUUGCUAGAGGGGACUGUUGUUGUCUUCGGCACUGUCCGGAGUGCUAUUAUCUCCGGUGCCGAUAUCACCGCUUUUGCCUUGGUGGGACUUAGAGUGGCGCCGCUGACGCCGGCGCUUGGUUGCUUCUUGGAGGGGUCAUCCUCCGUUGUCCCGUCGCCAUUGCCUUCUUUGGGUGUGUCCACCAUGUAUAUGGCAUAUGAUGAGGUGGCUGUCUAGUGCCCUGUGGGCAGUGGUUCCUCUUCGCCUCCCGCAUCGUUGUCCAUACCAUCGAUGUCUUCGGAGUCGAAGUCGAGCAUGUCGGUUAAGUCAUCGACAGUGGCUACUAAGUGGGUGGUGGGUGGGCGGCAAAUUUCUUCAUCAUCCGCAUCCCAAUCCUGCCGGACGUAGUUCGGCCAGGACUCUCCUGACAAGGAGAGAGACCUUAAUGAGUUCAGUAUGUCGCCAAAGGGCGAGUGCUGAAAAUAUCCGCGGAGGUAAACUCCAUGAUCGGCGCCCGGCCGGAUUCGGUAGGCAUGGGCACAGGCGGUUCGGAGUCCGUGGUCGGAGAAGGAUCCGACAGUUUGGCAACACGGCUCUCAUGAAAGGUAAGGUCGAUAUUCGGCUCGAUCGCCGCUAAGGGUAUGGCUUCUGUGGCGGGGUCUAUCCACCCGUCCAUGGAUGGCGCGACUGGUUCCGAAUUGAGGGUCGGAGUGGUUGCCGGUGCGAUCUUCUGAACACUGUCCGAUGGUAGAGCUAAAUCGUACUCAUCGUGGUCAUGUGGCGCACAAGGCAGGGGCUCGGAUCCGUCGAAGAUCAAGUCUUCGCGGAUAUCGGCCAUGUAGUUUAAGCUUCCAAACCUGACCUGGUGGCCAAGGGCGUAACUUUCAAUCUGCUCCAGAUGGCCAAGCGAGUUGGCCCGCAGUGCGAAGCCGCCGAAUAUGAAGAUCUGUCCAGGGAGAAAAGUCUCACCCUGGACUGCAUCGCUAUCGAUGAUUGAAGGAGCCAUCAAGCCUAAUGGCAAUGACACAGAGGAACUCUCAAUGAAAGCACCAAUGUUGGUGUCAAAACCGGCGGAUCUCGGGUAGGGGGUCCCAAACUGUGCGUCUAAGGCGGAUGGUAAUAGGAGGCAGGGGACACGAUGUUUUACCCAGGUUCGGGCCCUCUUGAUGGAGGUAAAACCCUACGUCCUGCUUGAUUUAUUCUUGAUGAUAUGAGUAUUACAAGAGUUGAUCUACCACGAGAUCGGAGAGGCUAAACCCUAAAAUCUAGCCUAUGGUAUGAUUGUAUGUUGUCCUAUGGACUAAAACCCUCCGGUUUAUAUAGACACCGGAGGGGGUUAGGGUUACACAAGGUCGGUUACAAAGGAGGAGAUAUCCAUAUCCGUACUGCCUAGCUUGCCUUCCACGCCAAGUAGAGUCCCAUCCGGACACGAGACGAAGUCUUCAAUCUUGUAUCUUCAUAGUCCAACAGUCCAGCCACAGGAUAUAGCCGGCUGUCCGGAGACCCCCUAAUCCAGGACUCCCUCACCAGGCCUGGAGACGCGGGCAAUCCUAAACGGGCCCUCCCGCAUGGGUGAGAGCUUAUGCAACCCUUCCCUAGAGAGCACCCGCCUCAGCGCGAGAUCACCCACCUCGAGCGUCCUAGAGCGGAUGCUGCGGCAGUGGUACCGCCGCAGCGCCUGCUGGUACCUUGCCGCACGGAAUGAGGCUUGGCAGCGGCGUUCCUCCCCCGGCACGAGGUCCAUCCCCCGCAUGGCGUCCUGACGCGCCUCGUCGAACGCCAGGACCCACGCGGAGCAAUGCUUGACCUUGUGAGGGAGAACCGCUUCAGCUCCAUAGACGAGGAAGAACGGAGUCUCGCCCAUUGUCUUGGUGGCGAUGGUGCGGAUGGACCACAGCAUAGAUUGGAGCUUGUCGUGUCAUCCCCUGCCGCAGGCCUCGAGCUUCCUCUUGAAGGUCCUUGUCUUGAGGCCUCUCAGGACCUCCGCAUUGGCGCGCUCAGCUUGGCCAUUGCUUCUGGGGUGCACCACCAAGGCGUAGCAUAUCUGCGUUCCAAGAUAUCUGAAGUGAUUGCUAGUGAACUAUGAGCCGUUGUUGGUGAUGAUGUGAUUAGGGACUUCGAACCGGCUCACGAGGCCCUUGAUGAGCUUGACGGCAGAGCCGGCUAGGAUGGUGCAGACGGCUUCCACCUUCGCCCACUUGGUGAACUUGUCAAUGGCAACGUAAAGGUAGCGGUAGCCCCCAGGUGCUCAAGGGAAUGGACCCAGGAUAUCCAGCCCCCAGACCGCAAACGACCACGAGAGUGGGAUGGUCUGGAGGCCCUGAGCAGGCUGGUGGAUUUGCUUGGCAUGGAACUGGCAGGCCUCGCAGGAUUUCACCAGCUCGGUUGCGUCGCUGAGUGUCGUGGGCUAGUAGAAUCCGCUACGGAAUGCCUUGCCCACCAAGGUGCGCGACGACAAAUGAUGCCUGCAGUUUCCGCCGUGUAUGUCAGCUAAUAGUUCAUUCCCCUGCUCCCUGGAGAUGCAUUGCAAGAAAACAUCAUUCGGUUGCUUUCGGUAUAGCUCACCAUCCCGGAUGUAGUAAGUUGUAGCCUGCCGAGCUAUGCGCUCCGUGUCCUCCUCCUCCGGCAGGGCCUCUUGCAGCAUGUACACCUCAAAUUCUUCAGUCCAGCACCCCUCCUGGGGUUCAAGUGCGAGGAGCAGGCGCGCUCCUGAGGUCAGGCCGCAGGCGGGAGCUCCUGAGGUUGGUGGCGGGAGGAGCUCCUCCUGAGGUGGCAUAGGCUCCGUAGCCGGAGGGGCCGCUAAAGGCUUGAAGAGCCGCUCCUCGAAGACGAACUGCUAGUCCAGCUCCAGAAUUGGUCGGUUCUGCUGAAUGGAGACCGGCGGCUUAAUGGCCGACAAGGUAUGCGGUUUAAUAAGACCACUUUGUACUCCGACUGAAGGAAACAUAGCAUGAUCCUCCAUCUGGAGGGAGUGCUUCUCACGCUCCCCUGUAGGGGUGUGUGUCACGUAUACCAUGUUCACUAUUUUUACCUCAGGGGGAAAUUGCUUCUGAACCCCGGUAUUAGGUUGGUGAGUUUCUUCGUCAUUGCUAUCACUAGGCGGCCUCUUCCCCUUGUGUUCGGUGUUGAGCUUGUCGGCCUGCUUGAAGACCCAACAGCUUCUGUUGGUGUGAUUAGCUGGUUUAUCGGGGUUGCCAUGAAUCUGGCUGGGCCGAUCCAAUAUCUUGUCUAAAUUGGAUGAUCCUUCUUUGUUUGCCUUGAAUGGCUUUUUCCAUUGACCGGGUUUGGAUCCACUGAAUCCAGCAUGGACCGAUGUGUCGUGCAUUCUUUCUUUAUCAUUACGACGUUUGUGUUUGCUCCAUCGUGGUUUUCCAUUGCCAUCUCGGACUUCGGAAGUUCCCGGAUCACUGGCGCUGUUGCUUCUAUGAGCGAGCCAGCUGUCUUCUCCUGCGCAAAAGCGGGUCAUUAGAGCGGUAAGGGCUGACAUGGAUUUUGUUUUUUCUUGACCGAUGUGGCGGGCGAGCCACUUGUCCCGGAUGUGUGUUUGAAGGCCGCUAGGGCUUCCGUGUCCGGACAGUCGACGAUUUGGUUAUUUUUAACUAAGAACCUACUCCAGAGCUUCCUGGCUAACUCUCUGGGCUGUUGAACUAUAUGGCUUAAGUUAUCGGCGUCUGGUGCCCGGACAUAUGUACCUUGGAAGUUGUCGUGGAAGGCGUCUUCCAAAUCCUCCUAGCUGCCAAUAGAGUUUUCGGGCUGACUGUUUAACCAGUGUCGAGCUGGACCUUUGAGUUUUAAUGAGAGGUAUUUGAUGGCAUGAAGGUCAUCUCCGCGAGCCAUGUGGAUAUGGAGAAGGAAAUCCUCAAUCCAUACCACGGGAUCAGUUGUUCCAUCAUAUGAUUCGAUAUUCAUGAGUUUAAACUCUUCUGGGAAUUCGUGCUCCGUUACUUCGUCUGUGAAGAAAAGAGGGUGUGCGGCGCCUCUAGUUGGGCCACAUUGUGACGUAGUUCCGAUGGAGUCCGUCUACGGUUUUCGGCCCGGGUGUGACUGGGUUUGUCACGUCCGAAUAGAUAGCCUUCGUCACGUCCUUGCGAUUUGUAGAUCGAUCUGGUAUGUCCUGCUCUAUUGUUCAGGUCCUGUCGAAGGUCAUAUGUGUGACCACAAGCUGUGUUGUCUCUGCCUUUACGGUGAGGUGGGGUGGGCUGGUGUUCGGCUUGAGUUGCCGCUUUGUCCCGACCGCAUGGUGGUCGAUUAGCCGCAUUGUGCGGUGAUGGUAUGGGCUCCGGCGCCUCGUCAUCGAACUGAGGUAGCAAUUUGCGCUUUGGGUAAAUUUUGGCUGGGCACUUGAGGCCAUAUUGUUCGGCUGCUAGGACAUCAGUCCAUCUAUCAUUGAGCAGAUCUUGGUCAGCUUGAAUCUGUUGUUGUUUCUUUUUCAGGCUCCUUGCAGUGGCUAUUAGCCGGCGCUUAAAGCGCUCCUGCUCCUGAGGUUCCUCAGGCACGGUAAAAUCCUCGCUGCCGAGGCUCGCCUCAUCCUCGGAGAGCGCAACAUAAUUAUUGUCCUCCGAGUCUUCGUGUGUGGCCUGUUUACCAGGGCUAACUGGCCCAUCUUCCCGUUCAUCCUGUUCAGCAGUUGCAUCAACGGGGUCUUCGUUGUCUUCGGCACCUUCUGGAGUGUUAUCUUCUCCUGUGCCGGUGUUGUUGUCUUUGCUGCGGCGUGACUUAGAGCGGCACCGCUGACGCCGUUGAUAUGAUUGUAUCUCGGGAGGUUUAUCCUCAACUUGAUCUUCCUUGUCAUCGCCGCUAUUCUCUUUUGGUGCAUCCACCAUGUAUACAUCAUACGAGGAAGUGGCCGUCCAGCGUCUGGUAAACGGCGUAUUUUGAGCCUCUUCUUCUCCGGCCUCCUCAUCCAUACAGUCAAUGUCGUCGGAGACGUAAUCAAGCAUGCCAGUUAAGUCUUCGACAGUGGCUACGAAGUGGGCGGUGGGUGGGAAGCGAAAUUCUCCGUCAUCAGCCUCCGGUUCAAAGCGGAUACAAUUUGGUUGUGGGCCCCCCGCUAAGGAUAGUGCUCUUAAUGAGUUUAACACGUCGCCCAAGGGAGAGUGUCGGAAGAUGUCCACGGAGCUGAAUUCGACGAUCGAUGAUUGAUAAAGCUCGACGUGCACGGACGCACAAGGUUUGGAGCCUGUAGCCGGAGACGAGUCCAUGGUUCCGGUGACAUAGAUGUCACUUGAAGUUAAGUUUGUGUGCGGCUCCAACGUCACUGAGUCUGCGGCUUCCGCGGCGGGGUUGAGCUUCCCAUCUUCGGAUGGCAUGAUCUGCUCCAGAUCUAGGGCCAGAGCAGCUACAAGUACUAUCUCCUGCGUAUGGACCGAUGACAGAUUUACGUCAUGUUCAUCAUGGUGGCAGGGAGCGGCUGCCGUGGUCUCAAAUCCGUCGAAGAUCAAGUCUCCACGGAUAUCCGUGACGUAGUUCAAGCUUCCAAAUCUGACCUGGUGGCCAAGGGCGUAGCUUUUGACCUGCUCUAGAUGGCCAAGCGAGUUGGCCCGCAGUGCAAAGCCGCCGAACACGAAGAUCUGUCCGGGGAGGAAGACUUCCCCUUGGACAGCGUAGUUGUAGAUGAUUGAAGGAGCCAUCAAACCUUUUGAUGACAGCAUAGUGGAACUCUCAAUGAAAGCACCAAUGUCGGUGUCAAAACCGGCAGAUCUCGGGUAGGGGGUCUCGAACUGUGCGUCUAAGGUCGAUGGUAACAGGAGACGGGGGACACAAUGUUUACCCGGGUUGGGGCCCUCUCUAUGGAGGUAAUACCCUACUUCCUGCUUGAUUGAUCUUGAUGAAUAUGAGUGUUACAAGAGUUAAUCUACCACAAGAUCGUAAUGGCUAAACCCUAAAAGUCUAGCCUGUCUGACUAUGAUUAUGAGGAUAUAUCUACAGACCUAGCCCUCCGGUUUAUAUAGACACAGGAGGGAUCUAGGGUUACAUAAGGUCGGUUACAAAGAAAGGAAUCUUCGUAUUUGGUCGCCAAGCUUGCCUUCCACGCCAAGGAGAGUCCCAUCCGGACACGGGUAGAGUCUUCGGCCUUUGUAUCUUCACAGCCCAUCAGUCCGACCCAUGUCUAAUAGGUCAGACGCCCGAGGACCCCUUAGUCCAGGACUCCCUGACCGGGCUCCUGGGGCUGACGCCUUGAUGCCCUCUUGGUGAUAUCAUCAGCUUCCUUGUUUGUGCCGCGUGGCACAUGCUACCGUUCUAGGCCCAAGAGUUGCUUCUCCAUUUUGCGUACCUCCGCGAGGUACACCUCCAUGUGCUCGUUCUUCGGCUCAUACACCUUGUUGGAAAAGUUGACGAGGAGUUGGGAGUCGCCCUUGAUGGUGAGGCGCUUCACACCUAGGGCCACCGCAGCCUUAAGGACGGUGAUCAACCCUUUGUUUUCCGUGAUGUUGUUGGAGACCUUCUCGCCCCGCUGGAAGCAGAUCUGCACUGCGUAGUAGAGCUUGUCCUGGGUGGGCGAAAUGAGCACAGCUCCAGCCCCCGCGCCCUGGCACACAAAGGCGCCAUCGAAGUAUAUGACCCAAUCGUCUAGUGCUUCGCUCCCCGGCGAGAGAGACUGAUCCUCGCCUGCUUCGGGCCCUAGAGCAUCAGUCCAUUCCGCCACAAAGUCAGCGAGCGCGGCUCCCUUGAUGACCCUGGUGGUGCUGAACUCCAGCUGGAAGGCCUGCGGCUCGAUGUUCCACUCAGCGACCCUCCCCGCUGCGUUGGGGCUUCGAAGUACCCUCUCCAGCGCGUAAGCUGACAUGACCUUGAUGGGGUGGCCUUGAAAGUAGUGGCGUAACAUGCGCGAGGCCACGAGGAGCACCAGCAGAAGCUUCUGCGGCAUGGGGUAGCGUGCCCGCGCGUCUCACAACACCGUGUUGACGAAGUACACCAGGUGUUCGACGAGGGCAGAAGUGUUGGUGGAGUCCGAGAUCUCCUGAGGCUGGGGUGCUCCCUAAGGCUGGGGGACCUCUGGAGUUUGGUCGCCUAUUGGGGCUACCGCGGCCUCAGGAGCACCGUCUUGUGGUGCCCGAUCAUCUGCUGGCUCUGCUGUGGCUUUAGGGGCGCCGUCCUGGUGCUGCACCAUCCUGACCGGAUGCACGGCGUCGGGUGGCAGGCUCUUGACCUGGCGCUCCUCCCGGACGACCACCAACGCUGCGCUACCGAAAUGAGGUGUGGCGGUCAGGUAAAGCACCAGAGGCUCGAGAGAACGAGGCACCACCAUCACCGGUGGGCUGGUUAGGUAUCUCUUGAGGUCUUGAAAUGCCACGUCGGCCUCCGAAGUCUACUCGAAUGGGCCCUUCUUCUUCAUCAGCUUGAAGAACGGGAGGGUGCGCUCCCCCACCUUGGAGACAAAGCGCCCAGGUGAGGUUACGCAGCCCGCGAGUUUUUGCAUUUCCUUGAGAGUCUGCGGCGGGCUCAUGUCUUCUAUUGCUUUGACCUUCUCUGGGUUCGCCUCGAUCCCCUGUGCGACACGAGGAAACCCAGCAGCUUGCCGGAGGGGACGCCAAACACGCAUUUUUCCAGGUUGAGCCGCAGAUCUACCUUGCGCAGGCUGGCAAAAGUCUCCUCCAGAUCCUGAAUGAGGGUCCUAGCCUCCCGAGAUUUUACCACAAUGUCGUCGAUGUAGGCUUCAGCAUUCCUCCGGAGCUGUUGGCCUAGAGCGAUGUGCAUCAGCCGCUGGAAGGUCGCCCCAGCGUUACGCUGCCCAAACGGCAUGCAGGUGUAGCAGUACACCCCGCACGGGGUUAAUAAUGUCAUCUUCUCUACAUCCUCCACCGCCAUCUUGAUCUGGUGGUAACCUGAGAAGGCAUCUAGGAAACACAAUAGGUCGCACUCGGCGGUGGAGUCGAUGAUCUGAUCGAUGCGUGGAAGCGGGAACGGGUCCUAAGGGAAGGCCUUGUUGAGGUUGGUGAAGUCGACGCACAUGCGUUCCUUCCCGCCGUUCUUGGGCACGAUGAUGGGGUUUGCCAGCCACUCCGGGUAUCGGACUUCGCGGAUGACACCCGCCGCCUGUAGCUUGUGGGUUUCCUGGACGAUGAAGGACUACUUCUCUGUGGACUGUUGUCGCGCCUUCUACUUCACUGGGCGCACAUUGGGGCACACCCUCAAGUGGUGCUCGAUUACUCCCCUUGGGACCCCCACCAGCCGCUUGGGCUCCCAGGUGAAUACCUCCUUGUUCGCGCGCAGGAAUUUCACCAGUGCCUCUUCUUGGUCCGGGUUGAGGUUGGCGCCUAUGGUGAAGGUGGCUCCCGAGGCCCCAUCAUCGUCGAGCAGUGCUUGCUUCGUGUUGGCCCGAUCUUGCGAGAAUAACUGCUUCUUCUUCGCCGGCGCAGCCCCCUGGGCCCCAAGUGCUACUUCACUUGCGGGGUGCGCCGCCACCGCGGCCCUGAAGGCGAGCUUGAGGGCCGUCAAGGCCUCCUUGGUGUCUCCAGUCACGGUGAGGACGCCGUUGCUCCCCGGCAUCUUCAUGAGGUUGUAUGCAGGGUGAGUUGCUGCCAUGAACUGAGCCAGGGCUGGGUACCCGAGGAUGGUGUUGUACGGGAGGCCGAUGCGAGCGAUGUCGAAGUCGAUAAGCUCAAUGCAGUAGUUAUCACGGGUGCCGAAGGUGACGGGGAGGCGGAUCUGCCCUAGGGGGCUGGUGGAACCACCGCCAACUCCGGAGAAGGGCUUGGUGUGACGGAGCCGGCCGUGCGGUAUGUGGAGCAAGCUGAAAGCUUCCACGAAGAGCACGUUGAGGCUAGCCCCGCCGUCGAUGAGGGUCUUGGUUACCGCCAUGUUGCAGAUGAUGGGUGUGCAAAGCAUCGGGAGCGCGCCCGAGCCGGUGGUGGUCGCCGGAUGGUCCCCCGAGUUGAAGGUGAGGUCGGCCUUGGGCGCCGCCCAUCCCGGGGAGGUCCCUGCUGUAUAGAGGCGGGGCCCAUUUGACGGAACAACUGCUUGACGUCGCGAUCUGAGGGCAGUGCCUGCGAGUCGUCGAGGAUGGCUGCAACGGCGAGGGGCACUGGUGCUGCGAAGCGCGCGACGAAGAGACCGCACAACUCUUCCCAGGAGGCCAUUGAGGAUCCUAGCAGGAUGAGCAGCCAGGCGCGCGGCACGCCGGCUAGGGCCAUGGGAAACCAGUUGGCCAUGACCUUGUCAUCGCCUCCCGCUUCCCGAACGGCCUCCUCGUACACCAGCAGGAAAGCUGCUGGAUCCGCCGCGCCAUCGUAGCAAGGCGGCAUAUCCGGCUUGAACUUCUGCGGCCACUGCACCUUUUGUAAGGUGGGGGUGAAGGCCCGGAGGCCCAUGGUGCCUCUACGCACGCCCGUCGAUCCAGCUGGUGGGGCGGCGCCUGAUACGUCUCCAACGUAUCUAUAAUUUUUGAUUGCUCCAUGCUAUAUUAUCUACUGUUUUGGACUAUAUUGGGCUUUAUUUUCCACUUUUAUAUUAUUUUUGGGACUAACCUAUUAACCGGAGGCCCAGCCCAGAAUUGUUGUUUUUUGCCUAUUUUAGUGCUUCGAAGAAACGGAAUAUCAACCGGAGUCCAAACAAAAUAAAACCUUCGGGAACGUGAUUUUCUCACCGAACGUGAUCCAGGAGACUUGGACCCUACGCCAAGGAACAAAAGAGGCAGUCACGAGGGUGGGGGCGGCCCCCCCUAGGGCGCGCCCCCUGCCUCGUGGGCCCCUCGAUGCUCCACCGACGUACUUCUUCCUCCUAUAUAUACCUACGUACCCCCAAACAAACAGAUACGGAGCGAAAAACCUAAUUCCACCACCGCAACUUUCUGUAUCCACGAGAUCCCAUCUUGGGGCCUGUUCCGGAGCUCCGCCGGAGGAGGGCCGUCAUCACGGAGGGCUUCUACAUCAUCAUAGCCUCUCCGAUGAAGUGUGAGUAGUUUACCUCAGACCUUCAGGUCCAUAGUUAGUAGCUAGAUGGCUUCUUCUCUCUCUUUGAAUCUCAAUACAAAGUUCUCCCCCUCUCCUGUGGAGAUCUAUUCGAUGUAAUCUUCUUUUUGCGGUGUGUUUGUUGGGAUCGAUGAAUUGUGGGUUUAUGAUCAAGUCUAUCUAUGAAUAAUAUUUGAAUCUUCUCUGAAUUCUUUUAUUAUGAUUGGUUAUCUUUGCAAGUCUCUUCGAAUUAUCCGUUUGGUUUGGCCAACUAGAUUGGUAGUUCUUGCCAUGGGAGAAGUGCUUAGCUUUGGGUUCGAUCUUGCGGUGUCCUUUCCCAGUGACAGAAGGGGCAGCAAGGCACGUAUUGCAUCAUUGUCAUUGAGGAUAACAAGAUGGGGUUUAUUUCAUAUUGCAUGAAUUUAUCUCUCUGCAUCAUGUCAUCUUGCUUAAGGCGUUACUCUAUUUUUAACUUAAUACUCUAGAUGCAUGCUGGAUAGCGGUCGAUGAGUGGAGUAAUAGUAGUAGAUGCAGAAUCAUUUCGGUCUACUUGUCACGGACGUGAUGCCUAUAUACAUGAUCAUGCCUAGAUAUUCUCAUAACUAUGCUCAAUUCUGUCAAUUGCUCAACAGUAAUUUGUUCACCCACCGUAGAAUACUUAUGCUCUUGAGAGAAGCCACUAGUGAAACCUAUGGCCCCCGGGUCUAUUCUCAUCAUACCAAUCUCCAUCACUUUAAUCUUGCUUUGUUUUUACUUUGCUUUUACUUUUUACUUUGCAUCUUUAUACCAAAAAUACCAAAAAUAUUAUAUCUAUCAGAUCUCACUCUCGUAAGUGACCGUGAAGGGAUUGACAACCCCUAAUCGCGUUGGUUGCGAGUAGCUAUCGUUUUGUGUAGGUACGAGGGACUUGAGCGUAGCCUCCUACUGGAUUGAUACCUUGGUUCUCAAAAACUGAGGGAAAUACUUACGCUACUCUGCUGCAUCAUCCUUUCCUCUUCGGGGAAAUCCAACGCAAGCUCAAGAGGUAGCAGCGCCCGCCAUGAGAGCCGAACGGAGAGACGAAGUGGGCGGAGCGGCGGAACAAGCGGAGAGGCGGAGCUCCGGAGCACCCCUACCUGGCGCGCCAAAUGUCAGAUUACGGGUUCCGGCAAACCCUUGUGAGGUUCGAACUCUGGGGUGCGCACGAAGAACACUCUCUCCCUGACUCGCACGCUCAACGAUUCCACGGCCUAGCUUGACGGACCCAAAGAACAAGAGACACGGAGGUUUAUACUAGUUCAGGCCACCUUGCGGUGUAAUACCCUAUUCCACUGUGUGGGUGGAUUGCCUCGAGGGGCUGAGGAUGAACUAGUACAAGGGAUGAACAACCUCCGGAGGUGAGGUGUUCUUGAGCUAGAUGAGCUGGUGCACUCGUCAGGGUGGAAUGAAUCCGACCCCCCUCUAUGGUGGUGGCUAAGUCCUAUUUAUAGUGGCAUUGGUCCUCUUCCCAAAUGUUUAGGUAGGAAGGGAUCCCACAACGGCCAAGUUUGAAGGGGACAACUAGUACAAGCUAUCCCGACAAAAGGUGGUCUUCGCCUGCCAAAGGCUCUACUGGUGACGCUGCUGUGGGCUCCGCUAUGACCUCCGUCCUACUGGUCUUGGUCUUGUUGCACCGAUAUGGAAACCUUUGCCUGAUGCCUCGGGACCCCGCGCCUGCGCUUGCCUCUUUAGCACCAAAGAGGAAACUGGUACACUGCACCCGUUGGCGCCCGCCUGGCCUUGGUCGUCAUGGCUCACGUCACGUGAACCUCGCGAGGGGCCCCUUGCAUAGAUAUCUUCGAUCCUUGGGAGCCAGACUAGUGAGGCUGCCCCUAGGGAGGUCUUGGUGUCGUCCGCCUCGCGAGGCUUGGCCCAUCGCGAGGGUCCUGAGUUGUUGUUGCUGAAGCUGGACCAUACCGGGCCGUUGAUGGAGCCACGCCACGGGCCGCAGGCAGGCAAGUCUGGGUACCCUCGGUCCCAGAACGCCGACAUGAACCCACCGUUCCUUCUUCCGACAAGUCAAAUGAGUAGUAGCGGUCCCAAAUCAUGUUGAACCAGGGAAGAUUUGCUCUGCUAAAGAACUUGUGUAGAUUUUUCAUGAGCAAUGCUUUGUUAUGAACAGCCAGAUCCAAGAUCCCUAGACCACCAAGAUUUUUUGGUUGGGAGACCUUAUCCCAAGUAAUUAGAGCAGGGCCAGAUAUCUCUUGUCCAUACUUCCUCCAUAGAAAUUGCAUGAUGUGUUUAUUUAACUUUUCAAUGAUUCCAGCAGGAAGAGCAAUGGUACAUGUGAAGAAGAUUAGUAGGGUUGCAAAAACUGAUUUGAUGAGUUGAAGCUUGCCAUCAUAUCCUAGCAUGGUAGAGACUCCACAGAGUCUUCUCUCAAUUGUUUGACAAAUGGGAGUGAAGUCUUCAUUUUUAAGCAUGUGAUCACUCAGUGGGAGAUCAAGAUAAGUAAAUGGAAAAGUUCCCAUCUUGCACCCUAAGAAUCCAAGUAACUUAUUCAGAUUUGCUUCUCCCACAUUGAGGGGCACCAAAACAUGUUUUUUUGUAGUAAUCUGAAGUCCAGUUUGAGCAGCAAAAUGUGACGCCCCCGAUUUAAUCGUACACUAAUCAUACACGCAAACGUGUGCGAUCAAGAUCAGGGACUCACGGGAAGAUAUCACAACACAACUCUACAAAUAAAAUAAGUCAUACAAGCAUCAUAUUACAAGCCAUGGGCCUCGAGGGCUCGAAUACAAGAGCUCGAUCAUAGACGAGUCAGCGGAAGCAACAAAAUCUGAGUACAAACAUAAGUUAAACAAGUUUGCCUUAAGAAGGCUAGCACAAACUGGGAUACAGAUCAAAAGAGGCGCAGGCCUCCUGCCUGGGAUCCUCCUAAACUACUCCUGGUCGCCAUCAGCGGGCUGCACGUAAUAGUAGGCACCUCCAGUGUAGUAGGAGUCGUCGUCGACGGUGGCAUCUGGCUCCUGGGCUCCAUCGUCUGGUCGCAACAAUCGGGUAUAGGAAGGGGGAAAAGGGGAGCAAGGCAACCGUGAGUACUCAUCCAAAGUACUCGCAAGCAAGGAGCUACACUACAAAUGUAUGCAUUGGUAUCAAAGGGAAUAAGGGUAUCAUAUGUGGACUGAACUGCAGAAUGCCGGAAUAAGAGGGGGAUAGCUAGUCCUAUCGAAGACUACGCUUCUGGCCACCUCCAUCUUGCAGCAUGUAGAAGAGAGUAGAUGGUAAGUUCACCAAGUAGCAUCGCAUAGCAUAAUCCUACCCGACGAUCCUCUCCUUGUCGCCCUGUUAGAGAGCGAUCACCGGGUUGUAUCUGGCACUUGGAAGGGUGUGUUUUAUUAAGUAACCAGUUCUAGUUUUCAUAAGGUCAAGGUACAACUCCAAGUCGUCCUGUUACCGAAGAUCACGGAUAUUCGAAUAGAUUAACUUCCCUGCAGGGGUGCACCACAUUUCCCAACACGCUCGAUCCCCUUUGUCCGGACACACUUUCCUGGGUCAUGCCCGGCCUCGGAAGAUCAACACGUCGCAGCCCUACCUAGGCACAACAGAGAGGUCAGCACGCUGGUCUAAAUCCUAUGGCGCAGGGGUCUGGGCCCAUCGCCCAUUGCACACCUGCACGUUGCGUAUGCGGCCGGAAGCAGAACUAGCCCCCUUAAUACAAGAGCAGGCUUACGGUCCAAUCCGGCGCGCACCGCUCAAUCACUGACAUCACGAAGGCUUCGGCUGAUACCACGACAUCGAGUGCCCAUAACUAUCCCUACAUAGAUGGUUAGUGCGUAUAGGCCAAUGGCCAGCCUUAGAUCAAAUACCAAGAUCUCGUUAAACGUGUUAUCUUGAAAUAAUCGCGAACGCCGACCAAGGCCAGGCCCACCUCUCUCCUAGGUGGUCUCUACCUGCCCUGUCGCUUCGCCACAAAGAUCCACACAGAGGGUCGUCAGGAAAGUAUGUCCUUCCAGCCCCCAAUUCGUGAAUCAACCGCGGGUACUCCUCGAGCCAACCCGACUUUAGUCAUCACAUGUAUCAUGUAUAAAGUAUAUAGCAUAUACCCGUGAUCACCUCCCGAGUGAUCACGGCCCGAUAGUAUAGCAUUGCAAAUGGACAAGAAUGUAGGGCCACUGAUGAUAAACUAGCAUCCUAUACUAAGCAUUAGGAUUGCAGGUAAAGGUAGCAACAGUAGUAGCAAGGACAGGCUAUGCAUCAGGAUAGGAUUAACGAAAAGCAGUAACAUGCUACACUACUCUAAUGCAAGAAGUAGAGAGAAGAGUAGGCGAUAUCUGGUGAUCAAAGGGGGGGCUUGCCUGGUUGCUCUGGCAAGAGAGAGGGGUCGUCAACACCGUAGUCGUACUGGGUAGCAGCGGCGUCGGUCUCGGUGUCUAGCGAGAGAAGAGGGGGAAGAAACAAUAAAUAUUAAGCAAACAGAUGCAUGACGAUGCAUGACAUGACAAAGUGUGAAGUUAGGUGUGCCCUAACGCGGUAUGAGGUGGUACCGGUGAAGGGGGGAAACAUCCGGGAAAAUAUCCCCGGUGUUUCGCGUUUUCGGACAGACGAAAUGGAGGGGGGAAAGUUAUGUGUUCACUAUGCUAGGGAUGCAUGGGGGACGAACAGGUUGCGUAUCCGGAUUCGUCUUGUCGUUCUAAGCAACUUUCAUGUACAAAGUUUUUCCAUCCGAGCUACGGUUUAUUUUAUAUUAAUUUUAAAAGAUUUAAAUCAUUUUUAGGAUUUAUUUAAUUAUUUAAUUCAACAUUAUCCAGAAUAGUGUCUGCUGAUGUCAGCAUGACAUCAGCAGUUGACCUGGUCAACCUGACAGGUGGGUCCCACCUGUCAGUGACCCAUUUGACUAAUUAACAGUAGUUAAUUAGGUUAACUAGUUAUUAGGUUAAUUAAUCUUAAUUAGUUAAUUUAAACAGAAUUAAUUAAGUUAAUUAUUUAGUUAAUUAAUUGUUUUGUUUAUUUAUUUUAUUUCUAUUUUUUUCUUUAUUCUUAUUCUUCUUUUUUUAACAUUCUGUGGGCGGGGCCCCUCUGUCAUAGGCCCAUAGGGGCUUUAGCAGACGCUGGCGUUAGCGGGCACGGGCGCAACGGGUGCCCAGCACCUGUUCGUUCGCGCGCACGCCCGGGGCUGCGGCGAGGCCGGCCGAAAAUGGCUCCGGCGAGGCCAACCGAAGGCGGCGGGGNNNNNNNNNNNNNNNNNNNNNNNNNNNNNNNNNNNNNNNNNNNNNNNNNNNNNNNNNNNNNNNNNNNNNNNNNNNNNNNNNNNNNNNNNNNNNNNNNNNNNNNNNNNNNNNNNNNNNNNNNNNNNNNNNNNNNNNNNNNNNNNNNNNNNNNNNNNNNNNNNNNNNNNNNNNNNNNNNNNNNNNNNNNNNNNNNNNNNNNNNNNNNNNNNNNNNNNNNNNNNNNNNNNNNNNNNNNNNNNNNNNNNNNNNNNNNNNNNNNNNNNNNNNNNNNNNNNNNNNNNNNNNNNNNNNNNNNNNNNNNNNNNNNNNNNNNNNNNNNNNNNNNNNNNNNNNNNNNNNNNNNNNNNNNNNNNNNNNNNNNNNNNNNNNNNNNNNNNNNNNNNNNNNNNNNNNNNNNNNNNNNNNNNNNNNNNNNNNNNNNNNNNNNNNNNNNNNNNNNNNNNNNNNNNNNNNGGGCGGCUUUAGGUGACAGCGUCCGGCGAGGUGGCUCUCCAGGCGGCAGCGGCGGUCGGCUCCCCUCCUCGAUCCCGAUCCAGUCGGGGGAAGAUGGGGGAUAUUUUGCGCGGGAGUGGGGUGUGGGUGUCGGUGGCGAGUGGGGGAGUGGGUAUAAGGGAGUGGGGGUGGGCCUUGGCCCAGUUGGGCAGGCCAGCUGGGCCGGAGCCCAGUGGGGGUGCUUUUCCCUUUUUUUUGUUUGCUUUGAUUUUUCCUUUUAUUUAUUUUCCCUUUAUUGUUUUCAUUUACUUGUGUAAUAGUUUAUAGUUUUAGAAAAAUGAAACCCACUCCUAAAUUAGAUUUGUAAAAUUGAUUGUUCUCACAAAAGGUUUGGGACAAAAGUAAAGCAACUUGUAUUCUUUACUAAUUGAAAAAGCAUUUAAGUUAUUGUUUCUGUCGCUGUUUUAUUUAUUUUAGCGCAUCCAAAUACUUUUUAAAAAUGUUGGUUACUCCACCUUAAUACUUAGGAUUUAUUUCGCUCACCCCGAACAUUUUAGUUUUAAAUUUUGAAAAACUUUUAUUGUUUGCCUUUAAUUCAAUUUGAAUUCAAAUGGGAUUUGAAUCAUCACGAGUUUGGCAACAGUAAUCGUGAUGACGUGGCAACAUUAGAAGGGUUUACUGUAGCUUAAUUAUCCGGGCGUCACACAAAAUGCGACAGCAGGUUAUUCACUUGUGCAAUUUGUUUUUCUUGGGCUGGGAGAACCAGAAUUUCAUCGGCGAACUGGAUCACUAUGUAAUCUUGAUUUGACUGAGAGUUGAUAGGAGCUUGAAUAAUGUUUGCAUGCAUUACUUCACUGAGAACUGGGUGAAGUAGAUCAGCUCAUAGGACACAAACGAGUGGUGAGAGGGGGUCUUCAUUCCUCACUCCCCUUUCACAUUUGAAUUGCUUCCCUGACACUCCAUUCAACGAGACAUAAGACAAUCCAGUGGUGUAAAUCAUUUGAUCCAGUUAAUCCAUCUGGAGCUAAAGCCUGUGGCCUAGAGAAUUUGUAAUAUAGUGUCAUGUUCAAUCGUAUCAAAAGCUUUAGCAAAACCAAGUUUUAAGAUUAGUAUUUCUUUCUUGGACUGCUGGCACUGGUGAAUGUACUCAUAUGCCCAUGAUAGACAAUCUGGUAUGGACUUGGACUUCAGAAAUCCAUUAUUGAUUUGUAUGAAUAAGCUUGAGGAUUACUUUUUGUAGCCUAUUAGCCAGGAGCUCAGUGAUGAUAUUGAUGGAGCUGUUUAGUAGAGAAAUGGGCCUAAAAUCAUGAGGUGUUAGAGGAUUCUCUUUCUUUGGAAUCAAAGUAAUGAAAGAGUUGUUUGUGGGUGGAAGGUUCACUUUCUCAUUAUAAAAAUCUUCAAUGAGCUAGCAAAAGUUUUGACAAAUGAUAUGCCAACAAGUUUUCAAAAAUGCCCCAUUGAAACCAUCUGGACUAGGAGCUUUAUCAGUAGGAAGAUGUUUAACAACCUCAUCAUUUUCCAUUUUUUGAGAAUGGUGCAUCAAGCUCUUCCAAAGAAAUAUUUGAUGAGAGCAUGCUAGAGAGAUUGAAUAUUUUUUAAGUUGGAGAAGUACUACCAAGUCUCUUCUUAUAGGCUCUCCAUGGAAUUGCAGCCUUUGCAUUAUGAUCAAGGUGUUCAGUUUGUUGUACAUCAUUCAACAUGGCAAUCUAGGUAUUUGUGUACUUGAUAGUUUCUUUUGCCUGGAAUUUUUUUAUGUUUCCUUCUCCAAACUUCACCCGUCUAAUUAUGGCUCUUUGCUUACGGUAUAUGCUUUGAAAGUUAAGCAAGUUGUUCAUGUGGCUCUUUAAGAUAACUCUUCCAUUCCAUUCCUUGGUAUUCAAAGGCAUAUAUUGUUCUAACAUGUCCAGGAGAAGAAUGGUCUCAUUGGAGUUCUUGAUAUGUUGGGCAAGUUUUGAGAUGUUUCUAGACCAAACAUAACUUGAUCCAAAGUGAGCCAAGAUAAAACCACUUUCCUAACCAUCCAAUUAUAUGAUGUAUGAUAGUUCAUAUAGGCCUAGUUAUUUAAUCUAUAGGAAUAGACCAAUGAACAUUCAUGCUCUCAGGAGAAUGAUGUAGAAGGCUUGGGGUCUCCACAUGGAGGCUCAAUUUAAGGAUAUUAGCGGAAACAUCUUUGUAGUCCGCUUUGGCAGUGAAGGAGACGGAAACACUGGUUAAUUAAUGGACCAUGGCAAUCUGACUUUAACAUUAUAGUGCUGAAGGAUCAUGAGGAGGAUACGAGGCUGUCUGAUAUGGUUUUUGACAUAGUUGAAGCAUGGGUUUGAGUCACGGACCUACUACUAGAUAAACGCUUGGAAACUUUUGGAAAGGACCUUGGAAAUUGUCUCGGGGAGGUGAUCAAACUAGAUGCGGAGAAAGAUGGUUUAGCAUGAGGAAAGCACCUCCGUGUCCAUGCAACAUAUAUGUAGAUGAUUCGUCGGUGAGGGAUUUCUUCCUUAUGUCUUCACCAGAAGACCGAAUUGGUACUUGGUUUGAUUUCUCAUACAAGAAGAUUCCGCACUUCUGUUGUGAAUGUGGUCGGCUAAUUCAUGUAGAUGGUGUUUUUAGCCAUUGUGAAAUCUAGCUCCUGGUGGGAGAAUGGUUGAGGGACACAUGUUUGGGCUUAAGAGUGAAUCCAAUAAGAUGGUGUCUAGCAACAACAACAAUUUUGGUAGCUCGAGAUCGAGUGAGACCGAGCAUGGGAGACACAUGCAUGCUACUGUCUGAGACCUUCCAACCAAGCAUAACCUGUAUCGAGAGUUCAUGUCCUCUAGUACCACCCGCACUGGCGGGAGUACAGAGUCAAGUAGGAUGAGGUCAGUAGCCCGAGUAUGUGCAAGCACAAAUAGGGGAGAAUAAAGAGAAGGACUUGCGACAAAAUUUAGAGGAUAAAUGUGAAAGGGAGAUGAGGCAUGACCUGCACCAGUGACAUGCCCGGAGGAGCUCUGCAAAAUAACAAUACAACGAUCACAAAGAUACCCAUCACCACCACGUUCUGGUUUGGAGGAAUUAGGAAGGAGAAGGAGAAGUACAUAUGUAUGCAGGCCGAGAUAGUUUCAUGGUGAACAUCAACACAUGACCUCGAGUUAUCAAACUAAACUUGUAGAGAGAAAGAGAAUGCCCAAGCAGCUAUGGACCCAAAGGGAGCUCUGAAUAUGUAGAUUACUCAUGAUACUUUCAUUGGUGGUAAUAGGCAGAAAUUGACUUUAGUAUCUAGUCGUACCGCUAACAAUAUUGAGAAAUCGGUGGACCCUGCCGAACAGGGCCGCUGUGAGCAAUGGAUCUUUUAGUGUGGAUUUGUUGGGGAUUGGGGUUGAACUCGACAGUUGCCGAAUUAUGUGACCUGAUUAGGUCUUAUGAUUCAAUAAUGGUUUUCUUAAGCAAAAAAAAGAGAGCUCGGGUACAAUGGAGAAGGUUAAGUGCAACCUGGGUUUCAGGCAGGGUGUAGUUGUGGGCUUCAGGCAAAUUUUCAUUCCGGAAUAACAUUUAACAUGGUAAAAAACAAACUCGUCAUUCCAAAAAUGCUAUUUUCGAAAGCAUAUUAUGAGUGUUAUUUUUGUUUUUUUGCCAUGACUUCCACGAAUGUUAUCUUCGGGAUGAAAAUUUGCAAGCGCCAAAAACAUUUGUCGAAGUUUAUAAAAAAAAAACAGAUUUUUUUGAAGUUUUUUUUUCAUUUUUAAAAUUUACUAUUCACCCAGAGCUCUUUUACGCAUUAAACAUCCCAUGGGCAAUCAAAAGCAUCAAACAGCCACACCCCACUCUGCUACAGUCUACAGUCUCUAGUCUAGUUCCUGCUGCUACUACCACUGCCACUACCACGGCACCACCACACUUGCUCGCCUCCCUCUGUCUCUCCUCUCCCCUCCCCUCCCCUCCCUCCUAUAGCAAUCAAACCACCAGCUCCACUCCCCCCUCCCCUCCACCGUCCUCCCCCUCCCCCUCCUGCUACUCCCUAGUUCAUGUCCUGCUGCUUCCCAUGUCGCCGCCUCUCGAGCUCGACUACAUAGGCCUCUCGGCCGCCGCCGGCGGCCGCGCGGACGACGACCUGAAAGGCACCGAGCUCCGCCUCGGACUUCCCGGCUGCGAGUCGCCCGACCGCCGCCCGGUCACCGCCACCACCACACUGGAGCUGCUGCCCGCCAAGGGCGCCAAGCGAGGGUUUUCGGACGAGGUCGCGCCGCCUGCGCCGGCUUCCGCCGGCGGGAAAGGCAAGGACGCGUCCGGGGAUGAGAAGGACAAGAAGGUCGCCGCCCCGCCGCAGCCUGCUGCCAAGUAGGCGCCUACUCCCCCUGCGAAUUUUGUGGAUUUGACUGUUUCAUGGUGUUCUGCCGAGUUUUGCGGGAUGCGGUGGGUUGGAGCGCGAAUGGGUGGAUGAAGUGAUGCGUAAAAAUUUGGGAAAAUAUGUGGUGGGUUAGUACGAGACGGUGAUUUAGUUUGCUUGGAACCUCCGAAAAGCUGUAAUUUGGUGGCCGUUGCAUGCAUUUGAGGGAAUUCCGUCUGUCGAGGCGGAAAACCCCUCUUUUUUGGGUGCAAAUUUGGUGCCGAAGGGCCCAUUUUGCGGUUCUUCCGUUGCUGUUUGUGGGCGCGCGUUUGCACUCGGCUUGAUCUAUUAGUUUCAGGAGCGUGGAGGGGUAGAGAUUCAUUCACUGAAGAGUCUUUUUACAAUUUUGCUGUGAAAUUAGACUUCAAUACCCCCCUCCUCUUUUUUCUAACUUUAUUAGAUGUGUGAUUUUGUUCUUUGAAAUUUCAUUGGGAAACUAAGGAGGGCUUCACAUCUGCAAAUUUGCGCACCUGGUUUGAAUUGGACUAGUCAAUUUGGGUCUACCUUUACUUUCAAGGUUUACCAAGUUUGUAGUGCUUUGAGUUGUUUUCCAGGGUAUGUUUGGUUUGAACAUACCCGGUUGUUUUCAACUCGUGUUCAUAACCUCAUAGAGCCAAACGAAAUGCUGGGUCGGCUCCAUUGCCGGUUCUUACUCUGAAUGGCCGAUGCGCAGGACUCAGGUGGUGGGAUGGCCACCAGUACGCAGCUACCGCAAGAACACGAUGGCAACCACCACCAACCAGCUGAAGAGCAGCAAGGAGGAUUCUGACACGAAGCAGGGGCAAGAGUUUCUGUAUGUCAAGGUCAGCAUGGAUGGUGCGCCUUACCUGAGGAAGGUUGACCUCAAGACAUACAAGAACUACAAGGACAUGGUUGUGGGGCUAGGGAAAAUGUUCAUUGGCUUCAGGACCGGUGAGGCUGCUUGGAUCCUUGGCAAAUUGUUGAUGUUUUAAUCUGCACCUGAAUUUGAAUUGGGGUAGAAGAAAUGCAUCGUUGCACACAUCUCAUUUCGCUGAAGAAAUAACCAAUUACUCUGUUUGGAAAUGUUCUACUCCCUCCGAUCCAAAUUAAUUGACGCAGCUUUAGUACACUUUACUAAAGCUGCGUCAAAUAAUUUGGAUCGGAGGGAGUAGCAAAUUCCAGGUUUAUGAAAUUGAUGAAGAAGACUCUUUUUCAGGGCCGGCUAAAUUGGUUAUUGUGGUGUAACCAGUUUCGAGGCUUCGCGUCUACAUUUGGCCAUGCUAUUUGUGUGCAUAUUUGUUUCGCUAGAUACCUAGUUUCAGCAUAUAUUAUUACCGGUGGAGCAAAUAUUCUCUUCUAAUUCAAGGAACUUUUAUUGUGUUUAAUAUUGUUUGAUGAAGCAACUAGCAGUGGACUAUGUCAUAAAAUGCCUAAUGUUUAGGCUAGCAUUCGCUAAGGGUCUGUAAAUAACUAAAUAUCACUCAAUUAUUCAUAAGCCUUUGAUAAACAGCAAUUUCCCUAUAACCUCUUCAUACCCAUUUUGUGCUUCAAGGACAGACAUCAAACCUACUAAUUUAAGAACGUAAAUUUCAGAAAGGUGUAUAUCUAGGACAUAAAAUUUACCAACAUACAAUGCUUUGUUUGAGAAAUUCAGUGUAAGGUGGUCCUUUGUCCGGCAGUUUUAACCUUACAUGUGGUACUGGGUCUAAUUCUGUACCAGGGAAGGAUGGUGCAUCUGAGAACAGAAAGGAUGGUGAAUAUGUGAUGACUUACGAAGACAAGGAUGGAGACUGGAUGCUGGUUGGUGACGUCCCAUGGGAGUAAGUACAUUGUCUGAUCUAAUUGGAAUAACAACAAGCGUAGAAAUGAGAACUCUGGAUGAUAGUUUGAGUUUUGUAGUAUAACUUUUAAAGGAUGAUAAAAAAUGAUAGUGUACCAAAUAAAUGUUUUUUACUAGUUUUCUGUGUAUACAUACAUGCACCCAGAUAAAAUGAACUCGUUCUCUACAGCAACAGCAGCCAUGAUUAGAGUAUCUCUUAAGUCCAUCUAACCUGUUCUAAUUUUUUAUAGAAUGCAUGCAGUCAUCCUCUUAAAACUCUGACACAGAUAUACUAAUUUUUUUCCACCUAAAAUUGUGCCAUUAGUUUUAAAAAGCUUUGCUAUUAGGAAAAACAGUGGUCUAAGCAAUUUAUUGGAGAUAGCAUUGACGCCAAAAGAACCAGUAAAAAGGAACGGACCUAGUAGCCUAGUACUAGCUACUUGGUUAUCUUCUUAUUAUGUUGUAGUUGCUCUAAAUUCUAUGGUCCUGGUGUUCUAUUGCUGCAUGUAGCAUCUCAUGUCUGAACAAGUGAAAGGGUUCUAAUGCAGUCACUAACUCACUGUAGUUGUUCUUGUGGCACGUUAAUUGUUACAAUUCCGUUGUCAAGAAAACCAUGAAUAUCUGAUGCAUACCUGAUACCUCCCCUAUGAGCUUAUCAAGUGAUUGCUUCUUAUUUGUAAUUGCAGGAUGUUCACCGAGUCUUGCCGGAGGAUCAGGGUCAUGAAAAGUGCAGAUGUGAUUGGACUUGGUAUGUCCAAUAGUGCUCCGUUCAGUAAUACAUUUUUGUUUUAAUUUCACUGAUGCCAUGCCGUGCUUCUGCAGUUAUUUUAUUUAACCAUUUGUCUGCACGUGUUACUGCUUUACUGCUCAAGCUGUUUCUCAGGCUUGCUUAAUUAUUUGAACUGCACUUAAGCGGGAAAGCGGUUUACUCUUGAAAAAAGUCAUUGUACUUGAAAGCUUGUUUAGAAGUUGGAGCUUAAAUAUCUUUACGGUCCCAGCAUUAAAUUGAGUGUUAGUUUGCUUUUAUUCCUUUUAAUUAGAAUAUACUCCCAAUUCUACUCUAGACGAGUAAGAAAGCCUUGUGAGUUUUGGAAGUGUUUGGAUAUAACCCAUUCCUGGUCUCUAGAGUUUGGAGAAUGACAAUUGUUUCCGUAAUGCCAUUUGAAGAACAGAAUGUUGUGUUUGGAUAUAACCCAUUCCUGGUCUCUAUCUAUGCUUUUGUUUUGCUACUUUGGAAUGUUUGUCCAACAAUGUAAGGUUUUAAGUUCACUUGGGUAACCUGCACCAUCCUACGUCAAGUACAUUUCAUAAUUCUACCUUGACAGUAUGAUGUCCAAACUGACUGUAUCUGUUCUUUUUCCAGGAGUUACAAGGGCAGGGGUUAAGUCCAAGAAUAAGAACUAAAACGGUCGCUGCCCACAGUUUGAAGACGAGGUCGCACAUAUCGUCUGUACUACUGCAUGGUUUUCCUACCCCGCAAGUAAAACCACCCGUUACUCUACUGUUUAAGAUUUGCGAUAUCUCCUAGAGACUUAUGCUCUAUAUUUUGUUGUGCCCACGUUGUUGUACGCGUGUUAUUUCCAUCCGUGUAAAUGGUUGGCAAGCAGUGCGAGAGCUACUGCUGUGUUUGAUGACUCCUAUGUAUUUCGCCACUCUUGUCCUGAACUGGUCGUUCGUCGUAAAUGUGAAGGUUGCAAGACUAUUAUUUACCUGACGAACUCUGCUUCGGCACACCCCCUCCUAGAAAAGUCUACAGAUUUCGACGCAGAUUAGAAUUUACCCCUUUGAUAAAAAAAGGGUGACAUGGUCUUUUGUACCCAAAUCAAUCUAUUCAAUACGUUUGAUCUGCAGGCUAACAUGGCGGUGGUCUUUUUAAGUUAACUUUAAGAUCUGUAUAAACUUUUUAAGGGGGUGCAACGAAGGGAAGCAAAACUCCUGGCUUGUUCCAAAGUUUUUGCUGUUCCAAUUUGUUAUACUGUUUGCGGAUCAGCGGGCUGCUGCUUUGUUAUCCAUUUCUUCUGAAACAUAGGCAACAAUUGCAUGGUGAAACAUCUCAUCUAUUCUUUGCCAGCAGCUGUGUGGCUGUUGCCGGGUGGGGACAUGUACUACUGCACACGCCAAAAUUAUCUUUUGAAGCCGUUCAUCAUGGUUGUUCCAUAGAGUAGUAGUAGUGGUGCUAUGGCCUAAAAGGCUUCCUAACACCAUCAUUCAGGUAGUAUAAAAUGCGACGGCUAUGGGGGUUAAUGAUGGCUUAUCAUCCCUUAGAAUCAGGCUUUCCAUUGCCGGCCAGUAUCUUCUUCCUUCCCACCUACAGUACGUAGUAGAAAGUAGAAACGAUGCUCCACUUUGGCCUCCUUUCCUCUUGUUUCCUAUUCCUCCUUUCCCCUUGCAUAUCCGCUGGUUGGUUGGUGUGCAUGUGAAGCAGCGGCGGGAUCAGGAUCGAACACUUCAGGACGCUGGGCCCUGUCCUAGUUUAUCCCAGAAGACGAAUGAAUCAGCGUUGGCAUGCACUUGCUUGCCUGUGCCUCGUGGUGUUUUCCAGGACAAGUGUGGAGUACUACCACUGUAAACUAAUAUAAGAGCGCGUUUAGAUAACUAAAGUAGUAAUUUUUUUGAUAAAAGAUGGAUUUUAUUAACUCAAAAUGAAGCAUCAAGUAGAUAUAAAGCAUGAUGAGCACACAUCCGGCCUUUGCAUAGCUAGGAUGCACAUAGCCAACACCAACACACGCGCACAAAAAACACACGCUGAGAAAUAGCAAAAUCAUACAAGACCAAAGCUAUGCCUAAGCGAAAAAAGCCAAAGCGAUCAGAACAACGAUCGACAAACUACGACAAUGAUCAUAUCCGCAUCAUCCAUCUUUUGACACCACAAGGACAAAAAAGUUCUUCAACAGCAACGCCUUCAGAAAGGAAAUGACGCACCAACGUUGCCGUCGCCGGAUCCAACAAUGAGAGGCCAGAAUCUAGGUUUUCAUCAUGAAAAACAAGUCUGAGCAUAUAUGAGCAAUGCCUUCAACAAGGUAACGAUGCAAAAACGUCGUCAUUGCCAGGAAUAACCAACUUAGGUCAAACCUAGGGUUUUCACCCCAAAACUCAAGACUGGAUACUCGAGAAGCACCACCAGAUCUAAGUCAAUCAUGUGUGUUGCCAUCACUUUUCCACGAUCCCAGCAGCUACAUGCGCUGGGCUUAAAAUCCCGUUGACGCCGCCACUGCACAACCAUAUCUUUUGCGUCAAGUCACCGUCCAUAGAUUGCAUCUCAUCGCCAAAGGCAGACUGGUCGGAGCGAGAGCCGCCAAACCCCGUAAAGGGAGCUUUUGGCUGCAUCCCGCCAGCUCGCCGGUUCGAGUCACCGGCGGCAACCAUCAGAUCCAAAGAGAUAAACACUAACAAAGAUCAUCAGGUGGCCACGACAAUCCGCAGGGCACGGAUGCCCAUAACCAAGUGGAUCGCCACCGGAACCCCCAGCUGCCACAAAGCGCCAAGGCUAGCACGCGCGAGAGAGCGCAGCCGCAAGGAUGGUACCACCAGAACUUCAUGCAGGCCAACGCAGCAUGCCAGAUCCAUAACAGGGACGCCAUGAUCUGCAGUCAUACAACGCGCCGCCGGUCCUCCUCAUGCGCACCAAGCAGAUACAGCCCAUGGUUACUGCAACAAGAUGGAAUGCUGAUGCAUGGAUCACGCUAACACCCCACACGCGCAGGCUUCCAGAUUUGUUUAUCCGCCACUGUAGCUACGUCACGACCACUAGCCUGCGACAACCACCACACAGGAGCAGGGGCAUCACGAGGACUAGAAAGAACGGAGGGGAGUGGGCAGGAGUGGCCCCGCGGCCGCCACCGGCCAGCCGACGGCCGCCGGCGACGGCAGCAAGGGUAGGGAAGAGGAGGCGGCGCCUAGGGUUAGGGCCGGCGACUCUCUGGUGGACUUAAGUCAUUUCAAGCGUGUGAUUUAAACGCUUUUAUAUUAGUUUACGGGGAGGAGUACGCGAUUCUACUUUGAUGCUGAUCAGGCUGGAAACCAGUUAACUAACGAAAAAUCGGUCAAAAACCGCCACGACCUGCUGAGCAGCAGGGACAAGAUACCCCACAUGCACCACUGUAAAGAAAGGCUCAUCGAGGUAGCACGUUGACGUCAUCAUCGUUGAUUCUCCUUGAGAACCAUCAUCGUCUUCCCUUCUCUCUGAGGGAGCGAGCGACUCCGCCUUCCCAGCAGACGACCACCGACGCAACCCAAUCCGUAGAGGAAGUGCGAAGCCACAUGGAGAUCAAUGCCAAUCACUCAGCCACCCGCGACAGGGGUGACACAAUUCCGAUUUUGACGAAGUGCUGCGAAGGAGAACUAUGCAGGGCUGAUGCUGCGGAAAAUCAGAAAUCACUGAACAAAUCACGUACCACUUGUCAUCUUGCCACCCGGACCCGUUAUCGUAGCUAUGACUUUGUAGUCGAGAAGGACCUAAGGAUACACUAGAGAAGAGACGACUACCAUAAUCAUGUCGUGACCGUGUCAUCUCUCUUCCCAUCGUCGUUGCCACAUAAGCCAUGACGCCUUCACCAUCAUCUUCCACCGGCCGCCGCCACGACCACCCUCAUCAUCCUCACCACCCUGAGUCCCUGACGCACCACUCUCCCGCGGUCCUCCUCGUUCCCACUGGCUGGAUAAAGCUAAAAAAUGAUGCCCGUGAGAGGGGAACGACAUCAAAAUGUCGCCUCCGUCCGAUCAUCUUGUAUUUGGCUUCUCUCGGGUUGUCUCAGGCGGAGAUAGGCAGAGCAACUCAUCGACGCCGGAAGUUACGACAUUGAUAUAUGUCUGUCGCCGUCGCUGGCUGCGGCCACGGCCGUAGACAAAAAUGAGACUUUCCCCGAGAGUGUCCUCAGCUCAGGCUGGUUAUAGUGGGGAGUAACUUAGACUAGUAUCAUAUGCAUGACAGUAGUCUAAGUUACUACCUUCAUAGUGCAAAGUAACAUAAUACUAGUGUCAUAUGUGGCCUCAUUUAAUAGCUUGUAGACUCAUGUUGUCUUGAAAAGCGCUAUGUUACAGUAACAUAUUAUGUUACUACUUUUCAUUAACUACUUGCAACAUAAGCAAAAAAUUCUCGAGAUGCGUUAUGUUACUACCUAAAUUACUCCCACUAUGACUAGCCUCAAAGAAUCCGUUGAGCCAGCACAACCACUUGUCGCAUCUUCUCCAGAUCCAUGGCAUCUCUGGGCCGGCAAAUGCAAGCAAGCCGACCUAGCUCAGUGGUAGAGCGCGUGGCUUUUAACCACGUGGCCGUGGGUUCGAUCCCCACGGUCGGCGUUAACUAUGGUUUUUUUAAACCCUUUUAACCCCGAACACUUCUCAGCAAAUCAGCGUAUCUCCCUCCGCACUUGCUUCCCUGUGCCUUUCUGCUGUUUCCAGCAGAUACUUCAAUAUCAUUUACUGAAUCUUAUUUCAUGACAAGUGGCAACCACGCCGACCUAGCUCAGUGGUAGAGCGCGUGGCUUUUAACCACGUGGCCGUGGGUUCGAUCCCCACGGUCGGCGACUUGUAAUUUUUUUGAUUUUUUCUUUAUUUCGACCUGUUCAUUUUUGUUCAGGCAGGACCACUGCCUAGUAGGAUAUUUUGUUCAUUUUGGAAUCCUUUGGUGAAAGAUCCCCACGGUCGGCGAUAUUUUCUAACUUUCCCGACUUGUUAAUUUUUGUUCGGGUAGACUGCCUAGUAUGAUGUGGAAUCCUUUGGCGUGAAAGGUCCCUUUGUUCCUCCGUGGUCCUGCCCUGCCACUGUACGAGUAUGCGCUAGCUAGCAUUACUACCAUCCUAGAUCAACCUUUAAUCUUUUCGUGCCUGAUAAAGCUAGCUUAGUUUACUAGUAACGCAAUGCCAGCGAAAUGCCGUGUUCCUUUUGUUACGCCACCAUCCAUUAAGAUUUCUUGCACCGCAUCUUACAUAAUACAGUACUUACUACAUGGCCAUGUCUGUAAUCACCGAGCUCAUGCUCUGCAAAUGGUUAUCCCGAUAUGACGUGGUACGAAGUGGGAUCGAUCACCGGACCGGACGGACGCAUUUGACAUUUGCUUCGAGUCCGUCACCGCGAUUGACGCCUGUAAAAUUUGUCCACCGCGCGCAUGCGCUCUGAACCAGUCUGAACCCAGAGGCAGGAGGUGGUGCGGCAGUAACUGCCCCCUGCUCCGACGCAGCGUCAGAGCCCAGGUGCCGCGCUGUCGCCUCCAGCACGAGCGCGGGAGGGCCGAGGGCCAGGGCAUUGCCAUUGCCUGUCUCGCCAUGAGUUGCUUUUCGCGGGCACAGUAGUAGUACCGGGGGGUGUAGUCGUGGUGGUGUAGACGUCGUACCCUUGUCUCGGUUUCCGGCGACCCUGCGGUUUGCUUUGCUCGCGCCGUUAGUACCGUGCGGCAUCGUGCGUGGUUCGGGGACCCAGGAUCUCUCGCGGUAUUACGGGGGUUUACUGUCAGUCAGGAUUGUCAUUCUGGGAAAUCAGAUUAUCUUCCAGGGCGCUGUAUGCAAAGCUGCGAGCAGAAUGCGCUUAUUGUCAGUUAUUAACCAGUUAACCUGGAUAUCACAUUGACAGCAGCACCGUACACUUGGGGCACCUUCUCAUUCUACUAGCAAAAGACAGAUCGGCAACAUACAACUUUAUAUGCGACAAAUUCAAGUCCAAGCUCACUGCUUACAAAGCCAACAUGCUCUCUCGUGCAGCAAGAUCAAUUCUUAUUAAAUACUCCCUCCAUCCCAAAAAAAAUUAAUACAAAGUUGAGUCAUUUAUUUUGGGACGAAGAGAGUAUGUCUUUUCCUCAAUCCCUGUCUACCAUAUGUCAAAUAUCCUCUUUUCAAAGUUCUUACCAAAACUCAUAGCUACCAUUAGAAACUUUUGGUGGACAGGUGUGAAAAAAAAGAACCAUCUACAAAGAUACUAUGAUUAAGGGCAUGGGCAAACAUUUGCAUAGAAAAAAGGAUUGGUGGUUUAAGUGUUAGGACCUUACGUGCUAUUAACCAGGGUCUAAUUCUUUCGAUGGCCUAGAGAUUAGCAAAGGAACCCAGAGUCAUCUUGCUCUCAUUCUCAAAUCAAAGUACCACAACAACACAUCCAUUUGAAGGACGAAGCAAAACAUAUCAAAAUCUGCCACCCACUAAGCAAUUCUCAAGGUAAGACCACUGUUAAUAUCAACCUCUUUUUACCAAAUUGUUGAUGGCAGUAGCUCCAUUUGGAGUUCACUGUGGUUCUCUCAAUGUCAAACUAUUUAUGAUAAUUUGACCAUUCAACAACCUCCUUAUAUUUACCUGGCUAUAGUUAAUGACCUUUGGUUCUCAAUCAGAAAACUUGAAAUGUUCAACUUGUCAACUCUUUGUUUACUUCUCAAUCUGCUAACGUUAUACUGCAAACCCCUAUCAUUAAUGCUCGUGGACGUUCUAGUUUGGAAAUUAAGACUGCAGGUGGUUUCUCUUAAAAAAGUACAUAUUAACACUGCUUUAAUAAUCUAACACUAUCGGCAAACUAGAGGCCGAAAUCUGGAGGCACUCAUGGCACCAAUGGUCCAAACAUUUGUCUGGAGGCUUCUUCGUCGAGCUAUUCCAACUGGUAAGAAUGCAAUAGGUUUUCCAACCAUAUUAGUGAAAAUUGUGCAAGAUGUGGCAACAUAGAGGAUGAAAUGCACAUGCUUUUCUUUGCCCUUUCUCAAAAGCUUCUUAGGUUUCCUCUCCUUGGUAUAUUAAAACUGAGGUACUUGCUGAAAGUAACCAUUCAACUCCACAAAUAUUAAAGGCUUUGCUAGUUUUUGCUCAUCCUCAUAUUAAUAUAACCAGUCUAUACACUUUCUUGUGGUGCCUUUGGAAGGUAAGAAAUGAUACUUUGUUUGGUAGAAAGUUUUGCAAGCCCUCGCAUGUAUAUCCGACGGCUAAUGCGAUCACGCAAGGCUCAAAGCUAGAAGAGAUGAUGGCAUCCCAGGAUCAGCACGACACAACCCCUAAUGUUCAACAGCUAAUAACCCAGCAAGAACCACCCUUGGUUACGUCUCCAGGAAUUUCCUGUGAUGCGGCCUGGAAAAAUGAAGAAAAAAUGCAAUCAUCUCCUGCAGGCAUUGGUGUUAUUAUCCAACUUGAAGACAAUGAACAUUGCCAGUGGCUGCAUGUUUCGGCUCUUUCUCCUCAGGUGUCAUCCCCUCUCUAGGCCGAAGCAUAUGGACUUCUCCAAGCCAAGAAGCUAGCAGAUACUCUUCACAUCCACGAUCCACACUACUACGCAAAUUGUUCUGCUCUAGCGUCGGCAGCAACUACGAAUUCCAUCUGUUGGGGAACGUAGUAUUUCAAAAUUUUUACCUACGAUCACGCAAGAUCUAUCUAGGAGAAGAAUAGCAACGAGCAGGGAGAGUGUGGUCACGUACCCUCGUAGACCAAAAGCAUUUAGUAACCUGGUUGAUGUAGUCGAACGUCUUAGCGAUCCAACCGAUCAAGUACCUAAUGCACGGCACCUCCGCGAUCUGCACACGUUCAGCUCGGUGACGUCCCUCGAGCUCUAGAUCCAGUUGAGGCCGAGGGAGAGUUUCGUCAACACGACGGCGUGGUGACGGUGAUGAUGAAGUUACCAACGCAGUGCUUCGCCUAAGCACUAUAGCAAUAUUACCGAGGUGGAAAUCUGUGGAGGGGAGCACCGCACACGGCUAAGAAAUCAACUUGUGUGUCUAUGGGGUGCCCCCUCCCCCGUAUAUAAAGGAGUGGAGGAGGGGGCCGGCCGGGCUCAUGGGGUGCGCCCCAAGGGGGAAUCCUACUCCUACUAGGAGUAGGUUCCCCCCCUUUCGUAGUCCAACUAGGAGGGGAAGGAAAGGGAAGAGGGAGAGAAGGAAAGGGGACGGGGGGCGGCCCCCCUCCCAAUUCGGAUUGGGCUUGGGGGGUCCGCCCCUCCACUUGGCCGCCUCCUCCUCUCUUUCACUAAAACCCAUGAAGGCCCAUUAACCCNNNNNNNNNNNNNNNNNNNNNNNNNNNNNNNNNNNNNNNNNNNNNNNNNNNNNNNNNNNNNNNNNNNNNNNNNNNNNNNNNNNNNNNNNNNNNNNNNNNNNNNNNNNNNNNNNNNNNNNNNNNNNNNNNNNNNNNNNNNNNNNNNNNNNNNNNNNNNNNNNNNNNNNNNNNNNNNNNNNNNNNNNNNNNNNNNNNNNNNNNNNNNNNNNNNNNNNNNNNNNNNNNNNNNNNNNNNNNNNNNNNNNNNNNNNNNNNNNNNNNNNNNNNNNNNNNNNNNNNNNNNNNNNNNNAGACUCAUCGUCAUGUCCGUGAUCACAUCCGGGACUCCGAACAACCUUCGGUACAUCAAAUCACAUAACUCACAAUACAUAUCGUCAUUGAACAUUAAGCGUGCGGACCCUACGGGUUCGAGAAGUAUGUAGACAUGACGAGACUCAUCUCCGGUCACCAAUAGCGGAACCUGGAUGCUCAUAUUGAUUCCUACAUAUUCUAUGAAGAUCUUUAUCGGUCAAACCGCAUAACAGCAUACGUUGUUCCCUUUGUCAUCGCUAUGUUACUUGCCCGAGAUUCGAUCGUCGGUAUGAUCAUACCUAGUUCAAUCUCGUUACCGGCAAGUCUCUUUACUCGUUCCGUAAUGCAUCAUCCCGCAACUAACUCAUUAGUUACAUUGCUUGCAAGGCUUAUAGUGAUGUGCAUUACUGAGAGGGCCCAGAGAUACCUCUCCGAGAAUCGGAGUGACAAAUCCUAAUCUCAAUCUAUGCCAACUCAACAAACACCAUCGGAGACACCUGUAGAGCAUCUUUAUAAUCACCCAGUUACGUUGUACGUUUGAUAGCACACUAAGUGUUCCUACGGUAUUUGGGAGUUGCAUAAUCUCAUUAGUCAUAGGAACAUGUAUAAGUCAAGAAGAAAGCAAUAGCAAUAAACUAAACGAUCAUAAUACUAAGCUAAUGGAUGGGUCAUGCCAAUCACAUCAUUCUCUAAUGAUGUGACUCCGUUCAUCAAAUGACAACUCAUGUCUAUGGCUAGGAAACUUUAACCAUAUUUGAUUAACGAGCUAGUUAAGUAGAGGCAUACUAGUGACACUCUGUUUGUGUAUGUAUUCACACAUGUACUAAGUUUCCGGUUAAUACAAUUAUAGCAUGAAUAAUAAACAUUUAUCAUGAUAUAAGAAAAUAUAAAUAACAACUUUAUUAUGGCCUCUGGGACAUAUUUCCUUCACCAUCUUCAAAGACGUAGGACAUUGGAACAUAAUGCCCAUUCUUGGGACGUGGAGUAUUUGCUCCCGAGCUCAAAUGCUCCUUGAUAAACAGUAAAAUUGGAAAAAAGAGAGUAAAACAAUUCAAAAUUCUGCAUUUUUUGUGAUAAACUUUAGCAAAUGUUUUGUAUGCUUGUAAUAUUUCAGCACGAAAUAACAUUCUUGGAAGUUGUGGAAAAGAACAAAAUGGUUGUUCCAAAAAUGCUAGUUUUCAAAGCAUUUUAGAGUGUUGAUUUUUUGCCACGCCUUCCACGAAUGUCAUUUCGUGCUGAAAUUUUGCAAGCAUACAAAACAUAUGUAGAAAUUUACCACAAAAAAUUUCAGAAUUUUUUACUUCUUUACUAUUUUUGUCGAUUUUACUGUUCAUUAUGGAGCAUUUGAGCCCGGGAUCGGAAAAGGACUUUCACCAUUCUUACUAGUAUAUAGGCGUCCCCAUCUUUUCUUAGCAGCAGGGUGGCGCACAUCAAUAGGUGUUUUAACGUAAAAGCACAUCAUCAAUCAAAGUUAGUGAUCAAAAUUCACAACAUGCCUACAUCUUUUAGUCGUCUCUCUUCAGAAGCAAGUCCUUGUAUUGUGAGGGAUGUUAUCACCAUGUCAAGUGUGAUGCCUUUCACACUACUCUUUGUAAAGUACCGUUAAUGCAAUAAAAUACUUUCUGUGCUCCAAUAAAAACCGGAUAUAGCGGCCUAGACUAGAAACGGCGAUAUGCGGAUGCUGUAGAGCACACACUCAAGGUGUAUCCUCCGAAUCUUCAGUUCUUCACAGCGGAACUUGCCAGCAAAUGCAACCACCGCUGACCUCCAUGCAAGGCGCGAACUUCUCAAAAUUUCAAAAUUGUUCUUGAUUUAAAAAUUAUUCAUACUUAAAAAAUGAUUCUAUUUAAAAUAAUGUUCUCAAUAUUUUCAAAAAUGUUUGCAAUUUUGGAACUAGUUCCAAAAUUUUAAAAUGGGCACAUUUUAAAUUUCGCAAGUUCUAAAAAUGUUCACAGAGUUUAAAAAAUAGUUCGCUUUCUAAGAGACUUACUUUUGAGUUUUGUCUUAAAGAUAAACAAAAAAACCAACGAAGAAACGACACAGUGACCGAGUCUCGACAGUAAUCGAGUCCUUACAACAAGUAAGUAAUAACUACAGUGCCAUGGAAAUGGGCCAGCCCUGUUGUGCGUCAAAUAUUCGGCUAUUCGCACCACGACAGCUAUAUCUCGCUUAUAGCGAGAAUAGCUCUCGCCUAGCUGAAGGUUUUCCCAUCUCAACUGUUUCUGGGCCGGCCCAUUUUUGUUCUUUUUCGUUCGCUCUUUCUUGUUUACUCGAUCGGUCGCAUGUCCUCCGAUGGUUCUCGUUCAGUUUUCAUUUUUUUUCCAAUUUAUUUUUAUUUGUUCUUUUAGUUUUCUUUGUUCUCAAGGAUUUCUUCGGUUUUUUUGUUUUCCAUUGGGUUUCUCUGUGUUUUCUUGGUUUUCUCGGUUUUCAUAGGUAUUCUGUUGUUUCUUUCUUUUUCAUACGAUUUCUUUGGUUCAUUUUAUCCUUCUCAGUUUUCACUGAUUUUAUUUUCAUUCUUUCUUUCAAUGCUUCUGUUUUUCCCUUUUUUGGUUUCAUAUUGUUUUCUUUUUCGUGUUUCCAUUCUUUUUGCACUUGUUCCUUUGAUUUUUGUUUUUUACUUUGUCUCCUUUGUUUCUUUUGCUUACAGUGUUCUUUGUUUAUUUUUGUUUUCAUUCUUCAUUUUUCAUAUUCGUCAAUAACAUUUUUCUAAUACACGUUCAACAUUUUUGAAUAGAAAUUUAACAUAUUUUAUAAUACGUGGUCGAUUUUUUUUCUAUCCACAUUUUAAACAUUUUCUAAGUGCUUAAUAAAAACAAAUAAUACAUGGUCAGCAUAUUCUCUAUUCACAUUUUAAAUUUUUUAAAUGCUUGACUAAAUUUUUUAAAUACAACAUUAAAAUUUUUCCAGACAAGGUCAACAUUUUUCUACAUAUCUAACAUUUUUCAAAUGUUUAUUUAAUAAUUUUCAAACACUUAUUUAACAUAUGCUUUUCAAAUGCUUGAUUACCAUUUUUAAAUACAUGAUCACAUUUUUUCAGACAUAUUGGAUAUUUUUUCGUACACAUUUUACAAUAUACAUGAGAAACGUUUUCUUUAUAGUUUAUACACAUUUAAUAUUUUCCAAAUGCUUGGUUAACAUUUUUUGACUACAUGGUCAACAUUUUUNNNNNNNNNNNNNNNNNNNNNNNNNNNNNNNNNNNNNNNNNNNNNNNNNNNNNNNNNNNNNNNNNNNNNNNNNNNNNNNNNNNNNNNNNNNNNNNNNNNNNNNNNNNNNNNNNNNNNNNNNNNNNNNNNNNNNNNNNNNNNNNNNNNNNNNNNNNNNNNNNNNNNNNNNNNNNNNNNNNNNNNNNNNNNNNNNNNNNNNNNNNNNNNNNNNNNNNNNNNNNNNNNNNNNNNNNNNNNNNNNNNNNNNNNNNNNNNUUUAAAUACAAGCUUGGCAUUUUUAAAUUACUUGGUCGACAUUUGUUCUCUGCACAUUUAAAGUUUUCAAAUGCUUGUUUAUUUUUUCCAAUAAUUGUUUAGUAUUUUUUCAAAUGCUUGAUUAACAUUUUUUAAUACAUGAUCAACUGUUUUCACACAUACUGUAUAUUUUUGUAUAUAUUAUAUAUAUAUAUUAUAAACAUGAGAAAUAUUUUAUUUAUACACAUUUAAUAAUUUUCAAUUAUUUGGUUGAUAUUUUUCAGAUGUUUUUAUGUAAAGAUCUUUUCUUAAUAUAUUUAUUUAAAGUAUUUGGAACUGUAAUAAAAAUUAAAGAAAAGGAAAAGAGAUGAACAUAAAUUAAAAAACGAGACUGUGGUCUCCUGCGCGCCUGGACUGCCGCAUUCAGUGAGAAGCCUGACGCAAGAGCACGCUAGGUCUUGUAGUAAGCAAGACAUAGCGGUGCCCUAUUCGCACAGUGAAGGGAGCGAGUAGAGUGGGCCAGCGUUUUAAUUGGCUAGCGUAGAUUCUGUUUUGGGAAUCUUUCAGAAGGUUCUGAUCCUGUUCUUUUUAGUUACCCCUAAAAAUGUUCUUGUUUGUGUCUUUCUUUGUCAGGUUUUAUAGUUUUCAUAUAUUAUUUUCAGGUUUUGUUUUAUUUUCUGAAAAUGCUUGUAAUCUUAUAAAAUAUUUAUGGUUUGUAUUUUUUAAUAAAAAUUUCCAAAAUAUAUUUGAAAUCAAGAAAUGUUUUCAAAGUUUAAGAAAUUGUUGCAAAAAAUUUAAACAUAUUCACAAAAUGUUUAAAAAUUUCACCCUUUUAAAAAGUUAUAUAUUUGAGUUUGCUAAAAACCGAAUGACCCCUCCCCCCCCACUAGAAAUCGGAAAAGCUAAAUGAAAACAAGAGAGAAACCAAAGAAAAGAGGGGGUAAAGUCAUAUUGUUGUACCCCUCACGCGGGGGAAGAAAACAACACGUAAGAGCGAACCGGGCCUGUGGCCUAUUAACUGCGCCAUGUGCACCACGCGCCCUAGUUGAUGCAAAAUGCAUCAUAUAGGGGCCAUUGGUCUAGCUUGAGAAGGAUGCAUUUUUAACCUAAAGUCUAGCAUUGGCACGUAGGGCCUUUUGUUUUUUCUAGGAAUUUGGUUGAGUAUAAUUGUGCAUUUUUCAGACAACGACUGUUUGAUUUUUAUAGGACUAAAUGAUACACGGUAUUUUUUUCACUCUAUUUCAUAAAAAAUAGUACCCACCAAAAUCUCUUGGAAAGAAUCCUUCAUAUUUUUUCCGCUGGUAGUCACGCUGGGUGGGUCCUACUCGGGAGCUGUUGGAAAAAACUAAAACCUAAAAAACCAAUGUUAGGUGGACCUUCUUACAUACUUAAUUAACAGUUAAAAUAAUUAUAUAGCACACCAUAGUCCAUGAAAUUAAUUGUAUCAUGAUGUAGGACCCUUCUUUUGGUAAGCUCGCGAGGGUUUCAUGCAUUUACUCAUGAUUAGUUCAUCAUAUAGGGAUAAGCGACAAGCCUUUUAUAUUUGAUAUUUUUUUUGUUUUUUGACAAAAAGACUGUAAGGGAGGCCCCUACAGUAUAAUUGGUGCAACAAACCCAAAUUGCAAGUACCAUGCCUUGAAUCUGGGUGGGUGGGAAGGCAUCAACCCCUUCCCACCACUAGGCUAUGCCUUAGUUGCCCUUUUUUGAAUUAUGCCAAGUUUAUCCGAAUGAAGGCAGUAUGUAAUAGAGACAACUCCAUCUGCACUCCACACUGUUAUGAAGACAAAAAUGGUAUUAAGUGGUUAUUUGUACAAUUGUCUUUGAAAAUCUCAUCUCCUACUUACAUUUUACUCUAAAAGACUCAUACAACAGGAAAUUAUAUAUUCUUAUACUUCCAUAAGGUUUGUAAUUUUUGGGGGAAUCUCCCAUCUACCAAGUGGUCACAGACAAGGCUUAGUAGUCCUGUUAACAAUAUUUAUUUCUUAGCAUCUCGGGCCAAUGUCAAAUGAUUGGCUUUCCAACUACUUAUUUUGCCAUAUAUUUUUCAUAGUUAUUCUAUUACUAGAUAAUUGCAUGUGUAUUGAAGCAAGAUACAUUAUUUGCACGUCACCCAUGCCUCAUGAUAAAGAACAUUUUUAUUCACUCAUAAUGUCACAUCUAGAGAAUAAUCUCACGAUAAAAAACAUUUUUAUUGACUCAUAAUGUAGUGUCUACAAAAUACAAUCGCCAUGAGCACACAGACUUUGCAUGACUAGUACGCACACAAGCAACACCAACACACAGAUGCCCCCCCCCACACCCACCCACCCACCCACACACACACACACAAAGCAAGAAAACAAAAAACACAAAAUCCAAAAGUCCCAAGGCGAACUGAAACAUGUGGAAACAACCAUCAACAUCAACCACCAUUGAUGACAACAACUAAGAUAUGUGAAAGAUGCUUCAACAAUGACACCUUUAAGAAGUAACAAAACCCAUCUAAUGCCGUCAUCAAAUCCAGCCAUGGACACUAGAUCACGGGUUUUCGUCCUGAAGAAAAAUCCAAACAAACUCCGGACAAUGCCUUCAACAAGGGAAUGCCAUGAACACUAUCAUUGACAGGUACAAAUGAAGCAUUUGAAACCUGAAGCUUUCACUCGAAAGCAUGUGAGACUUUAGUAAAAAGCACCACCAAACUCACAUCAUCCCGUACCGCCAUUCCCACUUGCAAUGAAAGGAGCCACCGUUGCAAGCUAGGCCUUCACACCUCGACAAGAGUAUAUGCUUGCAACAUGCCCUCCAUUUAGCGUCACUAUUUGUUAUUAUAAUUUACUCUUUAUCAAUGAUAUUUUUCAUAUUAUUGCUCAAUUCUAAUGCCCUUUUCUCACUGAUUUGUAUGUAAUACACGGAGAGGAAAAUUCUUAGGAAUUUAGCGGGCAGCUGGAAAUCAGGGUAAAAUAUACAACAGAAGAAAAGUGUUGUCCACGUACCCUCGUAGACCGUAAACGGAAGCGUUAUGACAGCGCGGUUGAUGUAGUCGUACGUCUUCAUGAUUCGUCCGAUCCUAGUACCGAAAGUACGACACCUCCGUGAUCUGCACGCUUCGACUCAGUGACGUCCCACGAACUCUCGAUCCAGCUAAGUGUCGAGGGAGAGCUUCGUCAGCACGACGGUGUGAUGAUGAAGCUACCGGCGCAGGGCUUCGCCUAAGCAGUACGACGAUAUGACCGAGGUGGAUUAUGGUGGAGGGGGGCACCGCACACGGCUAAGAGAUCAAUGAUCAAAUUGUGUGUCCUAGGGUGCCUCCUGCCCCCGUAUAUAAAGGAGCAAGGGGGGAGGCCGGCCGGCCCUUGGGGCGCGCCAGGAGAGGAGGAGUCCUCCUAGUAGGAGUAGGACUUCCCUUUCCUAUUCUUACUAGGAGGAGGAAAGGAAGGAGGAGAGGGAGAAGGAAAGGGGGGCGCCGUCCCCCCAUCCCUAGUCCAAUUCGGACUAGAGGGGGGGCGCGGCCUGCCCUGGCUGGCCCUCUCUGUAUCUCNNNNNNNNNNNNNNNNNNNNNNNNNNNNNNNNNNNNNNNNNNNNNNNNNNNNNNNNNNNNNNNNNNNNNNNNNNNNNNNNNNNNNNNNNNNNNNNNNNNNNNNNNNNNNNNNNNNNNNNNNNNNNNNNNNNNNNNNNNNNNNNNNNNNNNNNNNNNNNNNNNNNNNNNNNNNNNNNNNNNNNNNNNNNNNNNNNNNNNNNNNNNNNNNNNNNNNNNNNNNNNNNNNNNNNNNNNNNNNNNNNNNNNNNNNNNNNNNNNNNNNNNCUUCCGGUGUCCGAAUAUAGUCGUCCAAUAUAUCAAUCUUUAUGUCUCGACCAUUUCGAGACUCCUCGUCAUGUACGUGAUCAUAUCCGAGACUUUGAACUACCUCUAGUACAUCAAAACACAUAAACUCGUAAUACCGAUCGUCACCGAACGUUAAGUGUGCGGACCCUACUGGUUCGAGAACUAUGUAGACAUGAUCGAGACUCAUCUCUGGUCAAUAACCAAUAGCGGAACCUCGAUGCUCAUAUUGGUUCCUACAUAUUCUACGAAGAUCUUCAUCGGUCAAACCGCACAACAACAUACGUUGUUCACUUUGUCAUCGGUAUGUUACUUGCCCGAGAUUCGAUCGUCGGUAUCUCAAUACCUAGUUCAAUCUUGUUACCGACAAGUCUCUUUACUCGUUCUGUAAUGCAUCAUCCCACAACUAACUCAUUAGUCACAUUGCUUGCAAGGUUUAUAGUGAUGUGCAUUAUCGAGAGGGCCCAGAGAUACCUCUCCGAUACACGGAGUGACAAAUCCUAAUCUCGAUCUAUGCCAACUCAACAAACACCAUCGGAGACACCUGUACAUCAUCUUUAUAGUCACCCAGUUACGUUGUGACAUUUGAUAGCACACUAAGUGUUCCUCCGGUAUUCGGGAGUUGCAUGAUCUCAUAGUCAUAGAACAUUUAUAAGUUAUGGAGAAAGCAAUAGCAGUAAACUAAACGAUCAUCGUGCUAAGUUAACGGAUGGAUCAAAUCAAUCACAUCAUUCUCUAAUGAUGUGAUCCCGUUAAUCAAAUGACAACUCAUGUCUAUGAUUAGGAAACAUAACCAUCAUUGAUUCAACGAGCUAGUCAAGUAGAGGCAUACUAGUGACAUAUUGUUUGUCUAUGUAUUCAACAUGUACUAAGUUUCUGGUUAAUACAAUUCUAGCAUGAAUAAUAAACUUUUAUCAUGAUAUAAAUAAAUAUAAAUAACAACUUUAUUAUUGCCUCUAGGGCAUAUUUCCUUCACUUGAGACCUCUCGAAGGAUUGAAAGCUUCAAGAAUUUCACCAUUGCAUUUAACGGGGUACCAUAUCAAGCACACACAACUCCUCAACCCAUCUAGUCCAUCUCUCACAGAAACCAAUCUAAGUAAAGACUCAAGGAAUCUCAAGUCGACGUGAUCGUACACCUUAGCGGAAUGAAGCUUGUAGGCGCAAUGGGUGUUCUGAGGGUUCCUUGUGUGAUGGAUCUUAUGAAUUUUUUUGAGAGCGAUCAUCCUCCCUAGAGUGAAUGCAAUCUUAUGAAAACACUUCAACCGAUCAUAGCAUUCUCAGUGAUCAUCCUCCCUAUGGAAUGAAUGCAAUAUUGUGAAAACACUUGAAACUGAUCAUAGCAUUAUCAAUGAUCAUCCCCUGGAAUGAAGGCGUUUUGAGUUUCAGAAAUAAUCUCAUCAAGGAGAGGGCGUAACUGGUUAACCAUGCACUUUGAGACCACCUUGUUAUAAUAUGGCUAUUUGGGUGGUAAUCUAUCAUGCACCUCAAGACCACCUUGUAAAUAACGCCACAGAGGCUGAUUGGGUUGUAAUCUUUCAAAAAUUGCGGAUUAAUUCAUUUAGGAAUUGUUAGAGUAUAUAGGCAUAUCCCUGUAUGUGGUAGACUAUAAUUUGUAAUUAUCUUCAGCCUUAUCUCUAGGGGAGACUUCCUGCUGUUCAAGCCUUGUACUCUAUAUAAAUCGCCCGAGAGGCUCAAUACAAUAUCCAUCGAUUCCAUCAAUCCUCUCCUUCUAUUCCCUGUAUCAUUGACUUGCUUUGGCAUCACACCCUCUUAAAAAACCUGCACUGCACUACUUCCUUGUUUAGCGUGUUACAAUUCCGCUGAAGGAGCCAAACGGGUCCACGGCGGAAACCCCCUCCGCCCCGUGUCGCCUUCCCCUGGCGACACGGGGGAAACCCUGACAGCCGCCGCCGUAAGGCCUCUCCUCCUCCUGCCCCCGCAUCGCCGCCGCCAAAGGGCGGGCCGGCGAAGCCGCGCCGCGCCCCGGGAUGGCGGCGGCGGGGCGGAUCCACUUCCCCGCGCGCGGCGCCACCCCUUCCCCACGUCCCCGAGAACCAGAUGCGGCGUCCUCCACCCCCCCCUUUGGCUGCUACCCCUGCCGGUCCGGCGGCCGUCCAGUGGCGGGCGUCCGGCAGCGUGCCAUGGGGCAUCCUGGCUGCUCCUCCCCCGCCGCCCCCGCUAUGGCGCAGCCAUGUUGGCCUCGGGUUGGUGCGGUUCUGUGUCCAGGUGCGGGCUGGCCUCGAUUGGCCGGACCUCGUCUCCGGUGGUGCUCCUCCCUCCCUCGAGCUGCAGUGACGGCUCCACCAUGGUGGCUUGUUGAGGUUACGGUGGUUGCAUCCCCAACGGCGGCUGCCUUUGACGGUGCGUCAGCCUGGCGGCUUGGUGGACGAGUGGCACCCUGCAGUGAGUUUGCCGGCGUUGUUCCGGCCCUGAUGGCCUUGGACCUGCGUUCUCCGGUGUCCGUGGCCUGCGGCGCCUCUGCCGACGCCGCUCCGGCCCCAAUGACCAAGUAGCCGCAUUCUCCUCUAGCAUACUCUGCUCGUCGAUGUCCUGUUGGCUAUGGCCCCGAUAGCUGGGAUGUGCGUUCCUCCAGCUCCUAGCUUGCCGGCGUCGCCGGUUGCCGAUGAUUACUCCCUGCAGAUUUUUCUCUGCCUCCUCGCGUCCUCGACGCCGUAUACCUCCACGCCUCACCUUGAGCCAGAACCAAUGGUCGUGUGUCCGAUGGCGCACUGUGCCAUCCUCCAGCGGCAGGUGCAACCCCACCGACCCUUUCUUGACGUGACAGUUUCGACCGGCAGUGACUUCCUCAUCAUAGAGUCCAUAUUCGAUGGCUAUGGGAUAUCUUAGACUCAGGCCAAGGAGAAAUCCUUGCUCGGCUAGCCCGUGCUAGCAGCGGCGUCAUUCACGGGUGUUGUUUUCCCUUCUUGAAGGCGCUGUCAUGGCCUUCAUCUGUGCCCCUCUUCGAGCUCAGGGGAAACCCUAGGUCCGGUUCUCCGGAUCGGAUGGCGCCGGCGUCUCGGCGCCGUUCUCCUUCUUGAAGGCGCUAUCUUGUUCGCUUGUGGUUGUCCCUGGUGGUGACUUUGCCGAUGUUAAAUCCAUUACUUGUUCGGUCUGCCUCUCUUGUUGGGUCUUGAUGGGUUUAGCUGUGUGUAUCCUCUGUUCUGGACCAAGCAUCCCUUGUUCCUUUGCUCCGUGCAGCAUGUUCGCACCUUCUUGCAUUUGUGUCAUGUAUUCUACCUAACUUUGUACCCAUUCUAUUUCCUUCUAUCAAUGAAAGAUACGUAAGCUUUGCGUAUUCGCGAAAAAAGCAAUUCCACUGAAAAAAUCGAGCUGGGAAACCACCCCCUCUCCCCACACCCGCCAUUCUAAGGCGAUAUAUCUCGCGUCUAUGGAAGCUCAUUUCCGAGACAUGAUAACCGCUGGAGGACACUCCAUGUAAUGCUCUAAAUGAAAAUUAGACAAGCCAUCUUCACACAAGGAAACCAACAUCGCUACGUGGGGCUAUAAACCGAGCUAAACAAGAAAAAAAUGAAAAGGUAGCAGAUGAAGGCACAUAUCCACGCGUAUUGUUGCAUGUGAUCUGUGAGUUAGAUCACCGGUUCUUCCAAGAUAUAUACUACAACUCAAAAAAAGAAAAGAUACUACGUCCAAACCUCUUGAACGUCAGUAAUUUGCACAGCACGCGAAAGACUAGCGUGAAUCGCGCGCGCAUCUCCCAUGUCCUAGGAAGAUCACAUCCCCAUGCGUAGUUACCAACCACAAGCCCACGAUAUGGGAUCUCCCAAAUCUGCACUGAUCUAGGCUUAAGCACCUUCCGAUCUCAUUUUUCAACGCAUUAAGCACCCCCGGGAUAUGGAUAGAUCACAUCACUUGCAUCGCACGUAUGCAACCUGCGAGGCUGCGAUUACCCCGAUGCAGUCCUCACGCGCCGGUCGAAAUGCGCCAACGAUUCACGAGGCGGAGGCAACUAAUUAAACUCGGAUCGAUCGAUCGAUCUAGGAGUACUUACUCAUCUGCGGAUAUAUAUUGAUCCGCGGAUCUUCAAGUCCUUGCAUAAUCUACGUGCAGAUCAGGCUAUGAUCCUGAUACGAUUUCUCCGCUUCCCAGCUGCCUCCCGUUUUGUAUAUGCAUAUUGCUGAGGCUCUUUCCGCUGUCACGGAGUACGUCAACUACACGAGUUGGCGAUUUUGUUAAUGAUUAGCAGCCCAAGAUGGCUGGGCCUGGGCGUACUCGGGCGCAUGAUGGGAUCGAAUCAUGUAUGCUUGUGCAUGCUAGCUAGCUGUGACAGUGAUGCCGACGCAAAUUGCAGGGCUCGCGACAAGCGUGGAUCCCCUUUAAAACACCCUCACCCAACGCGUGGGCACUAUCAUAUUGUCCACAACCCCUGUUGGCCAGGAGCUCCACGAGUGGCCAUCUCCCACCAGAUCUUCAUAUACAGCCACUGACAUGUGAGCCGGGUGGAUCCAAUUUAAAAUCUCCGCGGAGGGAAAGACAUCCAGGCUCGGUAUUUUAAUUUUAAUGGACACGAUCGCGCGAUCAAGGGGGGAAAAGUCACGUCCUACUUGGCGAGGGCGAUCGUUCUUGGAAGCUGGAGAUGUGGCUUAGAAAAUCGCCGCGGCAGAUCGGCCUGAAUCUUUCCAAGGAUCUCGUCCAGCUAGCGCCCCGUCGACGAUGGAUCACCAAUAAUCAAUGGCGCCCUCAUGGACUCCUACUUGUAUAUAUAUGCGCGCCCUGCUGGCUGUCGCUGUUGGUGAGUCGCCAUCGUCGGUGUAUAUAAACGCAUUGUUGCAUAGCACGCGGGUGAUACUAUAUGGGGAGCAGCAGCGUCGACGGAGCCGGCGAGAUGUGCUUGGAGGCUGGCGCCGGCAGGGCGGGGAGGCGCGGCGGGAAGAAGGCGGCGGAGAUGAAGGCCGCCAAGCAGCCGCAGCGCGGGCUCGGCGUCGCGCAGCUGGAGAAGAUCCGGAUGCAGAACCAGAUGAUCGCCGCGUACCGCUCCGGCCUGCCUCCGCCGCCUCCGCCGCAGCAGGUGCCGUACGCCGCAGUCCCGACGGCCGGCGCCGCAUCGUCUUUCCAGCCCUAUCUAGCUGUAAGUACCUACUUGAAAAUCGAAAUGCUGCAUGCAUCAGAUGACAUGUAUGCGUAGCUUAAGCUUACCUUUGUGCGCGCGCGUGGUUUCUCAGGGUUGCUUUGAGGCGAUGGACCGGAGGAUCGCUGACGUGCAGUACAGCCAGUACUACGCGGAGAACCUGCUGCCUAACAGCUCCAGCCGGCCGCCGUCGACGUCGCCGCUCUUCGUCGUCCAUGACUCGUCGUCGUCAGGACAGAGGCAGCAGCAGACGCCUCACGAGUACGACUACUGGAUGCGCCACAGCCACGAGUCCAGCGGCCGCGGCGGCGCCGGAAGCACGGAAGAGCUAGAUCUGGAGCUGAGGCUGUAGGAGACGCCACGGUGAGCUCGAUAGAUCGAAGUGUCUACUCUAAUUAAUCAUGUGUCCGUGCAUGCAUGGGCGAAGCGCCAUGCGGGAGAGAGGGAGAGGAUCAGAGGAGGGGCUUAGAAUUAGAUUGAUCGAUUAGCUAUCAAACUGGCGGUGCCAGAGUUAGCUGCUGCUUAAUUUGCUGACGGAAUGGCUGAUGCUUUCGUUCUGGAACUGUGGGAUGACUGAUAAACGUACGCUGCCACGCGCGACCGAUACAUGCAUGUAAAUCUUGUUUAACACCUUAUUAAUUGAAAUGGUUACCAGUUUGUAGAGGAAACUUUACAUACAUGUGUUGCGUAGUACUUUCAAAUUGAUUUCAGACGGGGGAAUUUAAGCGGCCUAUAUGGCUGUGAUGUGCCUGUACUUGGGUCCAUCACUCUUUUCCUUCUUUUCUUUUCUUACCAGCAAACAUGUCUGUCCGUUGUAUCGGGAGAAAAAAUAUCUCAUGCCCCUGGCUCCAUAAGCAUAGUUCAAUACCCUCCUUCCAACAGAUCCAUAUUCUUUAUUAAAAAAAUCGUCCCACUCGUGUCGUCGCUUAUCCUCAUUCUCGUCCUUGCCGACUAUGACCAAGGUAUCAUCCGAAUGUGCUCAAUCUCAAGGUGAUAGGCUCGGCCAGCACACGACACACCUGUCGUUGAACCGAGCUGGCAUAAGAGAAUGUUUAUAACUUCAAAUUAAUCUAGUCGAGUUGGACGUGAGUGCCAUCCCCAACGAGCUACUCCCUACACUCGAUGCAUGUGCACGACUACAUAUUUGCAAGGAACUCGACUAUCCUAAAAGACGUGUAAGUUAAUAAGACAUGGAGUAGUUGAAGCAGUUUUCAAGAAAAAACGGUCAAAAAAUCGGCAAAACCUAAAAUGGUGGAGGUGAGGUGGGAGAGAGGGAGUGCCGAGGAAAGAAAGAAGCACAUGAUAGAACCCUGCAUAUUCUUAGUUCUUACUUAAUCUUAUAACAAUAUAAUGACAGGUAAAUCAUGUUGAUUGCAUAUAAAAUAUUUAUGCCCCAUUGCUUCACACAUACAUUUUUUUUCUCUCUGGCGCAACAUAACUCUUAUGAGCCAAAAAUACGGAGGCGGUCCAACCCGGAAAGAGAGGAAGAAAAAACAAGUAAAGGCAUGUUCCAUCUUAUUACUCAUUGCCUAGCUCACAUGAUCUUUAUGCUACAAUUUUUCUGUCGCGAUGUAGCACAAAACAAUUAUUUUGAUAGUGUGGCUAGCCCAUAUGCUCGAUUUUCAACACAGACGGCAAGGUAAUAAAGCCUUGUUCUUCUAAAAAGAAUGAAUACGUAUGCAACACCUCCUUUUUCUUAACAUUUUGAUGAACUUCUGAAUUUCAUUGUAAUAAUUAAAAUCUACUAACAUCAACGAAAAGAAUGAAUACGUAUGCAACACCUCCUUUUUCUUAACAUUUUGAUGAACUUCUGAAUUUCAUUGUAAUAAUUAAAAUCUACUAACAUCAACGGGUUGUGGAUCUUGGAAACUAAUCGUGUUGCGUACUUGCGGAGCGAGGUAACAAUUUUCUAAACCAUAGAAUAAUGGGAAGGUUCAGGCUCCUCCUUCAUGAUCUUAACCUCAAGGAAUCUCCUCUGAUGGGAAGGCGGUACAUGUGGAGUAACGAGCAUCGUGCUCCUACGCUUGAAAAGAUUGAUCGCUGGUUCUCUACCAUUGAGUGGGACUUGACACAUCCAGAUUGUCUGAUGCAGGCCCUCUCCACGUCCAUCCAAUCAUUGCCCAUUAUUGAUCUCGACCAAUGUUGCGUUCUAUCGCAAAUCCCGGUUUCACUUCCAAUCGUUUUAGAUCAAGAUGGUGGGUUUUCAGAACAUCAUGGUUGAAGGUUUGCACUCCGUCUGGCCACAUAGUGAUCCUUUUGUGGAUCUUGUUGAUGGUGCACUACACCGGGGUGGCCCAGAGGCUAGGAAGCCCGACAGUGGGUUGGCCUCAGGGCUAAGGAGGCCUGAAGGAGGUCUAGCAGCCCGGGGGGCCUAGUUGGAGACCAAAAGACCAUCUUAGCGUUCAAGCUAAGAUGGCGGCCGCAUGAGAUCAGAUAGGUUCCGUGUAAACCCUAGCCCCUAUAUAAGGCGGGGCUAGGGGUAGCCAUUCCCAUAUACUCUGGUAGACUAGACUCUCGGUAGUCAUAUUCAUCAUCCUUGUAACUUCCUCGCACGAGGUGCUCCAUCAUCAAUAUAGAACAAUAAGAAUGAUGAUGACAUAGGGUAUUACCUCACUAUGAGGGUCUGGAACCUUGGUAACCCCCUUAUGCGAACCCCCUUAAAGCAUUUUCAGCCAAGCUAGCCACCGAUGACCCACAAGUAUAGGGGAUCGAUCAUGGUCCUUUUGAUGAGUAAGAGUAUCAAAUCCAACGAGGAGCAGAUGGAAUUGACAAGCGGUUUUCAACAAGGUUUCACUUCAAGUGUUGUAAGAUAAUUUCGAUAGACAGUUUGACAACAAGAUAGUUUGAACAAGGUAGCAAGUAACAAUAGUAACAAAGUGUGGCAAGUGGUCCAAUCCUUUAUUGUGCUAAGGACAAGCCGGCGAUACUUCUUAUAGUGAGUAAAACGCUCUUAAGGACACAUAGGAAUAUCGCCAAGUUACUUUUACCACGAUUCAUUGAGUUGAUGUUCAUUGCCUUGAUACGUCUUACGUAGGUGGACCGAGAUAAGGUAAUGUCCUUACUUGAACAAACACCUACUUAUGAUUAUACCAUGCAAGAAGCCGCAACUACAAAAGAAGUAAUUAAGAUAAAUCUAACCAUAGCAUUAAGCAAUUGGAUCCAGAACAACCCCUUACGAAAUAAUUCAUAAACUAGGGUUUAGGUUUCUAACACUCCCACAACCCAUCAUCUACAAACUAAUUCCACAAUGCCUUACCCUAGGCCCAAAGAUGGCGAGGUGUCAUGUAGUCGACGUUCACAUAACAUCACCAGAGGAACAAGAACACAACAUAAUAUCAAAACAAUGAACAGGAAUCAAAUUCACAUGAUUACUCACUACUGCAGGAUGCUGCUAACGCGAUACUAUAAUCAGAGACCCUUCGAUGAAACUGUGUGCGAUGCAAUAAUCGCAAACGUUGGUGUAAAAGAACCGUCAAAAAAGGUGCAAAAUGUUUGUGCUGGAGGAUGCAUCAAACAUGGUUCAGAUUUUAGUUGCGUGUGCGAUGCAGGGCAUACGGUUCAGUUCAAUGAACUAUUUGCGAUGAGGCGAAAGAAAAGAAACAGGUAGCCAUAUGAAGGCGUGUGCAAUAUACAACAUACGGUUCACUCGGAUGAACUGUUUGUGAUUAGGUAACACAAAAGAAGCAGUCAGCCAUAUCAAGGUGUGUGCGAUAUACAACAUGCGGUUCACUCGGAUGAACUGUUUGUGUUGAGACAAGAGAACAUAAACGGUUUAAUAUAACAAGAUAUGUGUGAUACGCGGCAAACAGGUUUGUAAUCAGAAAUGUGUGCAAAGACCGAUAAUAACACAGACGGUUGCUGCUAAUAAGACAUGGGUGUGUUGUGCGAUGGGAUUGCAUACAGAACAACAACAACAACACACACACACACACACACACACACACACACACACUUAUAAGGACAUGGUUGCAUAACCAAAUUAGACAUCCGCUUACAUAGGUGGCUACUACAAUUUGCACACACUAAAGUAAACUAUUACAUGCAUAAUUACAUAGGUGGCUACUACACACAUGAUAUUUCCACACACCAAUAAAGUAAACUAUAUAUUACAUGCAUGAUUAACUAGCAUAAACGAUCAUCUGAUCAUUAUCUACUUCUUGUGACGCUUGCUCUGCUUGUGGCUCGAUCCGGGCUCGUCGAUUUGGGUAACGAGGCACUCCCUCAUGUCAACGAUCCGUCUGUGCAUCUCGUAGCAUGUGUACACGCUCUUGGCCGCGAACCUGAGGUGAGGUUCAUCCAGUUGCCGCAUCUAGGCCCUGUGCUAGAAUAUGGGACUUGUUCUCUGGGCAUCCUGCUUCAUCUUUUCGUAGUAGGGUUCGAUGAUGGCUGAGGCGAGUUCGACCAGGGAGUCCUUCUUCGUGCUGCCCCAGACCCUGUAGUGGUCACGGAUUUCGACAAGGUUCUUGCAGGCCAAGCCCGUAACACUGAGCACUUUUACAUCGUCGGUGGUUUCCACCAUGGCGAACUUGUAGUUGGUGCUGUUGACAAACCUGUUGAAAUGGUCGCAAGGCUCUGUGGCCAUGCAGUAGUGGUAGAUAAGGACAUGAUGACGCACGCACAACUGGGCGAUGACAACCUUCUGAUCUAUGCCAGGACGACCGGUGGUGUACUGGAGGUCGAUGCCGACCACAUUGUACUUGUCUCGAGCAAGCAACUGCUCAACGCUGUUGAUGUAGUCGUCCACCACGGCCGGGUCGAUGGUGUACACCACUGAGAGAUCCGUCCCCCUCGCGUGGGUCUCCACUCUAUGCUCGCCGAACUCCAUUGGAGCGCCGCUAGACACCCCCUCUCUAUGUGUCGUCGUGGGUGUGCUUAUUGUGUUGUGGGACGCGAUCAAAAUGUUGAAGAGACUAAGCUUAUAAUGGCGGCGGGAAUUAAAGGGGAAGCCGGGCGGCCAGGAAUAUCGGCAGGCCCUGAUGGCAGUUAUAAUUUGCAGUGCGUAACUCCAUCGUGCCGUACGUAUCUGCAUCGCGUGGCAAUGCGUGGCGCAACCGCAUGCAUAUGGGGUCACCGACGUGAUCGUGCGCACGCCGAACCGCUGGCAGAGCAUGUGCGGAGGGAUUUGAGCAGAGCGCUCUGUGGUUGCCUCAAUGGCGAGCAACCACACACACACACACACACACACACACACACACACACACACACACACACACACACACACAUAUAUAUAUAUAUAUAUAUAUAUAUGCAUAUAGCAGUUGAACACACAAGGAAAAACUGUCCACAAGCCGAGCGCGUCGACGGACGCGAGCAGAGCGCACCGCGGCGCCUAACGGCGAGCAGAGCUUGCCAAGGGACGCGAGCAGAGGCCGGCACAGUGAUACGUGGCAUAUAGGACGAACUGUGCGAGCGAUGAGGGAGACAUCAAGCACGAGUCAGAUUAGAGUUGCGUGUGCGGUACGUGGCAUACAUUUGAUCCAUCCGAGUUGUUUAUGAUGGAAUAAGCCGUGUGUGUUGCGGGCAUACGCUUGCUGGUAUAUAAUCUUAAAUUUAAACAAAAAAGUGUUAAUGCAUGUUACAAAAAUUGUAUAACUGGAAACUAUGUUCAAAUACGAAUCCAACGAUAUAAUCUUUGGCGACAUGCAUUCGUAUUUUAUUAGUUAAAUCCUACUUAUAAACCAGGACUAGGGUAUAGUAGGUAAUUAAAUCGCAAAUGUUUUUUUGUAUUAACCGUAUGUGUACAUGUCCUUUCGUCCUCCUCUCGCAUGUCUUGUCACCCUGCAGCCGCAGAUGGCUUACAUCGCAAGCUUGCGCAGCGCGAGGGGGCGUUCUUUUGGCCAAACAGUGGCUCGAAGUGGCGCCAAUGAAUCAUCGGUGAGCCCAUUCCCGCGCAACCUCACAGGUUCCCGCCCGACUCGGUGAAAUCCGCCAAAAUCCCAAUGCUUUACCGGCCUGCUAUAUAAACCCUCAUGGCCGGCGAGUCCUGUGUCGCAUUUUCCCCUCCCUCCCUGUAGCUUAUCCCGUAUGCUUCUCCCAUAAUCGCCAAUGGCAUCGGUCGGUGUCAUCGUUGCUCAGCCACUACACUGUCAUCAGAGGACAGCUCCAGUUGGGAGGCUACACCGCGGCGGCGGCUCAGUCCCCGGCUUAAUGUAGUGCGUGUGGCGUCCCUAUUGGGUGUGCGUGGAACACCCACCACACGCUCCGCUGCCACUGCCCGUCGGCAGCUGUUGCCCGCCGUUGCCGCCACACCACUGUUGAAAGCCAGGGCCAUCGCCCGCUCCGCCACCGUGGCCCGAAGGCGGGAGGUGGCCGUCGUGGCCGCCACCCCACUGCCGGCCAUCACCCGCUCCACCACCGCGGCCCAAAGGCGGGAGGUGGCCGUCGUGGCCGGCAUCCCAUCAUAGGCCGCUGUGGCCGCCAGCCCACCGUCGACCAUCGGGAUCAUCACCCGCUCCGCCACCAUCACUCGAAGGAGGGAGGCGGAGGAGGAGGCCCGCACGUGCGUCAGCAACCUUGUGCACUACAUCGAGUUCCCGCGGGAGGAGGAGGAGCGCCUUGUCGAGCAUGCAAAGAGCCUUACCGUAGCCGUGGCCGCAGCACACGCCAACGCAGAGGCGAGGAAUCAGGAGAUCUAUGAGCAGUCCGGCCGCUUCGAGAGGGAUCGUCUGGAGCGACAGUGGGCGUUCGAGCUAGCGAGCGUCAUUGAACGUGCAGCAGCGGCAGGCACCAUAUUGCAUUUGUCCAGCUCGUCGAUAGGCUCCUCCUUCUCUGCCUCUUACUGAGCGCGCUCGACAAAGGAGAGGCUGCCGGAAGUAGCACAAAGCCCCUCUGUAGUAGUAGUAUUUAGGGGCUAUUUUGUUUAGUUCAUCUGACUAUAGAUGUGUGGUGGAACUGUACAACAUACUAGUAUAUAUAGUUGAACUAGCUAUUUCAGUACAUGGUUGGCAACAAUUGGGGAAAAGGUUGGUCAGUUCAGCUGUCGAGUUGAACUGUUUGUAUAAAUUAAGAACAACUGCUUAAUCUAUGAAUGAAAUCUAUGCUUAAUUACUGAAUUUUAGUUGCAAAAAUUAGAUAGUACUAGUGAUUUUUAGCUGCAUAUUUUGACAAAUCGCAGUGUUACAAGGAUUGACAAAUGGCAGUGUUACUAGAUCAACAAAUGUCAAUUUUUCCAGUUUGACAAAUGGCAACAUACCCAAUAUGAAAGAUGCAAAUCUUACCAAAUUGUUUGUACGUGGUUGCAUACGGGUCAUCCAAAACAACCGUUUGCGUUGAAGGGAUGCACAAAUCCUGCCUGCAAAUUUUCCCUCGACUUAAGGGGGAAGACUAUAGCUCUCACUUUGCAUACGAGUGUUCUAUCUAAAACAUUUGCGAUCUAGAGCUGCAGAAAUCCUGCUCGGCGCAUUUUCUCUUGGCUUCCUGGGGAAGCUGUCGGUUUGCAUACGGGUGUUCUAACUAAAAAGUUUGCGAUCAAGAGCUGCACAAAUCCUGCUAGGCACAUUUCCCUUGGCUUCCUGGGGAACUUGUCGGUUUUGCAUACGGUGUUCUAACUAAAACGUUUGCGGUGAGUGUUUUAUAUUUAAAAACCGUAUUAAACUGCGGCUUGGGCGCCACUAAUGGAGAGGAUGCGAGCAAGGCGUACGACCAUGGAAGUCAAAGGGCUCGCUUCCCGGUGAGCCUGCACGGCGUACAACUCGCACGCUUCUCGGUGAGCCUCCGCAUUGGAGUACAGCUCGCAUGCCUCCCAUUUAGUCAAGAACUCAAGCAUCUAUCCGCAUGACACCUCCUAGCCAUUAAAAGAGUGAGACGUGGCAUUACGUGAAUGGUUAACAGAAUGCACACAAUUUAAAUUAUACAAAAUGUUUGAGAUGUUACAGUGGCAGCUAUUUGUUUCAAAAUGCCUUUGUCGGCAGUUAUUCGAGUGCGCCUUCUCUCAAAAUGGACAUGAAAAAUACCACAACAUGUCGGGUGCCAUUCCAUUAUAGCAUGCCAAGUUUCAUGAAUUUCAGACGAAUUUUGGAUUUACUAGAAUUUAAAAAUCAAGUAUCUCAACAUUUUGCCGGCAAUCAACACUGCCCUGGUGUUUGAAAUUCAUUUCCAUUUCUUGCAUGGGACCUAAGCAUGCACCAAAGGAAAUAGAUUUGAUUUUCCAACCAAUUUAUAUGCACUGGAGCAUGUGCAUGUAGUUCAAAUUUGAAUUAUGCACAUAAAAUGCCUAGAAAGCCUAGUUCAUGUAUAAAAAUGUCGAAACGAACCCCAAAAAUUCCAGAAUUAAACACAACACUCUUGUUGUUCUACGUUGACACUAGAAAUUUUUUGAAAGCAAUAAGAGACAACAGAUAUCAUUUCGUCCCCAAAGGUGGCACGUUCCCUACCGAAACCAUCACGCUUGUUGUGAGAAGCCCUGGUUUGGGAGAAGCUUAUACCCAAACCUGCCCCAAAUGGGAAAAAUCUUUUACCACAACAUGUUGAUGCUGCUCCAUGAUAGCAUGCCAAGUUUCAUGAAUUUUAGAUGAGUUUUGGAUUUACUAGAAUUUAAAAACCAAAUAUCUCAAUGUUUGCGGCCGAGUGACAGUGGCAGGGUGUUUGAAAUUCAUUCCCAUUUCUUGCAUGGGACCUAAGCAUGCACCGAAGGACACAAAUUUGAUAUUUCAACCAAUUUAUAUGCACUGGAGUAUGUGCAUGUAGUUCCAAUUUGAAUUAUGCACCUAAAAAUGCCUGUAAAACCCAGUUAAUGUAUAAAAAUGUCCAAAUGAACCCCGAAAAAUUCCAAAAUUAAACACAACACUCUUGUUGUUCUAUGUUAACACUAGAAAAUUUUAGAAAGCAAUAAGAGGCAAUGGAUAUCGUUUUGUCCCCAAAGGUGGCACAUUCCCUACCGAAACCAUCACGCUUGUUGUGAGAAGCUCUAGUUUGUGAGAAGCUCUGGUUUGUGAGAAGCUUAUACCCAAACCUGGCCCAAAUGGAAUAAUUUUUUUACCAUGGCAUGUUGAUGCCGCUCCAUGAUAGCAUAUUUCAUGAAUUUCAAACGAGUUUUGGAUUUACUAGAAUCUAAAAACCAAGAUAUCAAUGUUUGCAGCCGAGUGACGGUGAUAGGGUGUUUGAAAUUCAUUUCCAUUUCUUGCGUGGGACCUAAGCAUGCACGGAAGGACACAAAUUUGAUCUUUCAACCAAUUUAUAUGCAUCGGAGCAUGUGCAUGUUGUUCAAAUUUGAAUUAUGCACCUGAAAUGCUUGGAAAACCAAGUUAAUGUAUAAAAAUGUCCAAACAAAGCCCGAAAAAUUCCAAAAUUAAACACAACACUCUUGUUGUUCUAUAUUGACACUAGAAUUUUUUUCAAAGCAAUAAGAGGCAACAGAUAUCGUUUCGUCCCCAAAGGUGGCACGUUCCCUACCGAAACCAUCACGCUUGUUGUGAGAAGCUCUGGUUUAUGAGAAGCUUAUACCCAAACCUGCCCCAAAUGGGACAAAAAUUUUACCACGACAUGUUGAUGCCGCUCCAUGAUAGCAUGCCAAGUUUCACGAAUUUCAGACGAGUUUUGGAUUUACUAGAAUUUAAAAACCAAGUAUCUCACUGUUCGCGGCCGAGUGAUGGUGGCAUGGUGUUUAAAAUUCAUUCCCAUUUCUUACAUGGGACCUAAGCAUGCACCGAAGGACACAAAUUUGAUUUUUCAACCAAUUUAUAUGCACUGGAGCAUGUGCAUGUAGUUCUAAUUUGAAUUAUGCACCUGAAAUGCAAGGAAAACCUAGUUAAUGUAUAAAAAUGUCCAAACGAACCCCGAAAAAUUCAAAAAUUAAACACAACACUCCUGUUGUUCUAUGUUGACACUAGAAAUUUUUUGAAAGCAAUAAGAGGCAAUGGAUAUCGUUUCGUCCCCAAAGGUGACACGGUCUCUACCGAAACCAUCACGCUUGUUGUGAGAAGCUUAUAUCCAAACCUGCCCAAAAUGGAACAUUUUUUUACCACGGCAUGUUGAUGCUGCUCCAUGAUAGCAUGCCAAGUUUCAUGAAUUUCAUACGAGUUUUGGAUUUACUAGAAUUUUAAAACCAAGUAUCUCAAUGUUUGCGGCCGAGUGACGGUGGCAGGGUGUUUGAAAUUUAUUCCCAUUUCUUGCAUGGGACCUAAGCAUGCACCGAAGGACACAAAUUUGUUUUUUCAACCAAUUUAUAUGCACUAGAGCAUGUGCAUGUAGUUCAAAUUUGAAUUAUACAUAUAAAAUGUGUGGAAAACCCAGUUAAUGUAUAAAAGUGUCCAAACAAACCCUGGAAAAUUCCAAAAUUAAACAAUCCUGUUAUUCUAUGUUGACACUAGAAUUUUUUUGAAAGCAAUAAGAGGCAACAAAUAUCGUUUCAUCCCCAAAGGUGGCACGUUCCCUACUGAAACAAUCACGCUUGUUGUGAGAAGCUCUAGUUUGGGAGAAGCUUAUACCCAAACCUGCUACAAAUGGGACAAAACUUUUACCACGGCAUGUUGAUGCCGCUCCAAGAUAGCAUGCCAAGUUUCAUGAAUUUCAGACGAGUUUUGGAUUCACUACAAUUUAAAAACCAGGUAUCUCAAUGUUUGCGGCUGAGUGACGGUGGCAGGGUGUUUCACAUUCAUUCCCAUUUCUUGCAUGGGACCUAAGCAUGCAACCAAGGACAUGUUUUUUAAACCCAUUUAUAUGCACUGGAGCAUGUGCAUGUAGUUCAAAUUUGAAUUAUGCACCUGAAAUGCCUACAAAACCAAGUUAAUGUAUAAAAACAUCCAAACGAACCCUGAAUAAUUCCAAUUUUUUGAUGACACACCUAUAGUUGUAUGUUCACUGCAAAUAAAAGUUCUACCAAUUCAAACACCAUCCUUUGCAGCUGUGACCCCAUUUCGUAAUUCAAAUCAAGGCAAAAAAUCAAGUAGAUCGUGCACAGUUUAUUAUCGCCAACCAUGUGAUAUGCAUCACAAAAUAUCUUGGAGCACCGUCGGAGUGUCAAGCACACUAGCCCACUCCUCAAAUAUCAUUUCACUGUUCAAUCGUCGCUAGUGAAAGAUGGGGACAUGGACCCGCGUCGUGAGGGAAACUUCGGCGGCCCACUCCAGCGAGAGCGCGGCCGCAACCGCCAGGCGCGUGCUAACAAGCUUCGUGAGGGUGAACACAAUCUACGUCCGGGCGGCCAAGGCAGCCCAAACGGCUGUUGUUGCUUCUCAGGCGGCGGCAGUAGCAUCUGCCUCGGGGAUAACAACUAGCGAGAGCGGCACACCAGCUGUUCGUUCUGCAGUGGCGGCCUUAGCCUUGAUGGAGGCAGCCCACCACCAUGUCGAGGCCGUCCAUGCCCAGCUCGUGGCGGUCACCGCACAAAUCGAACGAAGCUUCUCUGGCAAUGGUUGGCAACCCACGGCCCAAGAGUUGGCAAUCGUUGAGAGAGUUCGAGCAGCCAUCCGUUCCUGCGCGGCAUACCUCGCCACGACGGAGCCUGCCAAAGCCUAGAUAGCGGCCGCCCACGCCAACUUGUGGCGGCCUAUUCCAAAGAUAUGGCAGACGCGGAUGGCGAGAUGCUUGUCGAGUAUGGUGCAAUUGAUGCCAUGGAGCCCCUUCCCCAGGAGACCGUCGGGCGCGAGCUGGACAUGGAGGCGGCGGCGGAGAUCGACGAGCACCAGCCGUAGUAGUACUCUUUGUUUUGUUUAAUUAAGAGCGUCGGUCUUUAAUUUGUUAGAGUAAUGUUUAGGUCAGCUAGCUCUGUUUAAUUGCUGAACUUGGUCGAUUAAGAAGUCUGGGUGUGAAGGAAAUAUGCCCUAGAGGCAAUAAUAAAGUUGUUAUUUAUAUUUCCUUAUAUCAUGAUAAAUGUUUAUUAUUCAUGCUAGAAUUGUAUUAACCGGAAACUUAUUACAUGUGUGAAUACAUAGACAAACUGAGUGUCACUAGUAUUCCUCUACUUGACUAGCUCAUUAAUAAAAGAUGGUUAAGUUUCCUAGCCAUGGACAAAGAGUUAUCAUUUGAUUAACGGGAUCACAUCAUUAGAGAAUGAUGUGAUUGACUUGACCCAUCCGUUAGCUUAGCACGAUGAUCGUUUACUUUGUUGCUAUUGCUUUCUUCAUAACUUAUACAUGUUCCUAUGGCUAUGAGAUUAUGCAACUCCCGAAUACCAGAGUAACACUUAGUGUGCUAUCAAAUGUCACAACGUAACUAGGUGGUUAUAAAGAUGCUCUACAGGUGUCUCUGAUGGUGUUUGUUGAGUUGGCAUAGAUCGAGAUUAUGAUUUGUCACUCCGAUUAUCGGAGAGGUAUCUCUGGGCCCUCUCGAUAAUACUCAUCACUAUAAGCCUUGCAAGCAAUGUGACUAAAGAGUUAGUUACGCGAUGAUGCAUUACGGAACAAGUAAAGAGACUUGCCGGUAACAAGAUUGAACUAGGUAUUGAGAUACCGACGAUCGAAUCUCGGGCAAGUAACAUACCGAUGAUAAAGGAAACAACGUAUAUCGUUAUGCGGUUUGACCGAUAAAGAUCUUUGUAGAAUAUGUGGGAGCCAAUAUGAACAUCCAGGUUCCGCUAUUGGUUAUUGACCGGAGACGUGUGUUGGUCAUGUCUACAUAGUUCUCGAACCCGUAGGGUCCGCACGUUUAACGUUCGGUGACAAUCGGUAUUAUGAGUUUAUGUGUUUUGAUGCACCGAAGGUAGUUUGGAGUCCCGGAUGUGAUCACGGACAUGACGAGGAGUCUCUAAAUGGUCGAGACAUAAAGAUUGAUAUAUUGGAUGACUAUAUUCGGACACCGGAUGAGUUCCGGGGGUCACCGGAUAAUUAUCGGAGUGCCGGGGGGUUAUCGGAACCACCGGGGGAACUAAUGGGCCAACAUGGGCCUUGUGUGAGAGAGAGGAGGGGCCAUAGGGCUGUCCGCGCCCCCGCUUGGGAGUUGGACUAGGAAAGUGGGAGUCCUACUCCUACUAGGAGGAGGACUCCUCCCCCUCAUUGGCGCGCCCCAUGGCCGGCCUCUCCCUUGCUCCUUUAUAUACGGGGGCAGGGGGGCACCCUAGAGCACACAAGUUGAUCAUUGAUCCCUUAGCCGCGUGCGGUGCCCCCCUCCACCAUAAUCCACCUCGGUCAUAUCAUCGUAGUGCUUAGGCGAAGCCCUGCGACGGUAGCUUCAUCAUCACCGUCAUCACGCCGUCGUGCUGACGAAGCUCUCCCUCGACACUCAGCUAGAUCGAGAGUUCGUGGGACGUCACCGAGCCAGACGUGUGUAGAUCGCGGAGGUGCCGUACUUUCGGUACUAGGAUCGGUCGGAUCAUGAAGACAUACAACUACAUCAACCGCAUUGUCAUAACACUUCCGCUUACGGUCUACGAGGGUACAUGGACAACACUCUUCCCCUCUCGUUGCUAUGCAUCACCAUGAUAGAUCUUGCGUGUUCGUAGGAAUUUUUUUUGAAAUUACUGCGUUCCCCAAUAGUGGUAUCAUAGCCAGGUUUAUGCGUAGAUGUUAUAUGCACGAGUAGAACACAAAGGAGUUGUGGGCGUGGGUAUGUACAUAUUGCUUGCCGUCACUAGUUGUUUCUUGAUUCAGUGGUAUUGUUGGAUGAAGCGGCCCAGAUCGACAUUACACGUACGUUUACGCGAGACUGGUUCUACCAACAUGUUUCGCACACAGGUGGCUGGUGGGUGUCAGUUUCUCCAACUUUAGUGAAUCAGGUUCAAUGAACCGGGUUCUUUCUGAAGAUCAAAAAACAAUCACUAUACCGCGUUGUGGUUUUUGAUGCGUAGGUAAGAACGGUUCUUGCUCAGCCCGUAGCAGCCACGUAAAACUUGCAACAACAAAGUAGAGGACGUCUAACUUGUUUUUGCAGGGCAUGUUGUGAUGUGAUAUGGUCAAGACAUGAUGCUAAAUUUUAUUGUAUGAGAUGAUAAUGUUUUGUAACACAAUUAUCGGCAACUGGCAGGAGCCAUAUGGUUGUCGCUUUAUUGUAUGAAAUGCAAUCACCAUGUAAUUGCUUUACUUUAUCACUAAAUGGUAGUGAUAGUCGUAGAAGCAAUAGUUGGCGAGAUGACAAUGAUGCUUCAAUGGAGAUCAAGGUGUCUAGCCGGUGACGAUGGUGAUCAUGACGGUGCUUUGGAGAUGGAGAUCAAAGGCACAAGAUGAUGAUGACCAUAUCAUAUCACUUAUAUUGAUUGCAUGCGAUGUUUAUCCUUUAUGCAUCUUAUUUUCCUUAGUUCGGUGGUAGCAUUAUAAGAUGAUCUCUUGAUACGUCUCCGUCGUAUCUAUAAUUUUUGAUUGUUCCAUGUCAAUAUUAUUCAACUUUCAUAUACUUUUUGGCAACUUUUUAUAUUAUUUUUGGGACUAACAUAUUGAUCCAGUGCCCAGUGCCAGUUCCUGUCUGUUGCAUGUUUUUGGUUUCGUAGAAUAUCCAUAUCAAACGGAGUCCAAACGGGAUAAAAACGGACAGAGCUUAUUUUUGGAAAAUAUGGAAAAUUUGGAAGGAAAAUCAACGCGAAUCAGUGCCCGAGGUGGUCACGAGGCAGGGGGCGCGCCCUACCCUCGUGAGCCCACCGUAAGGCGGUUGACGCUCUUCUUCUGCCACAAGAAAGCUAAUAUUCGGAAAAAAAUCACGGCGAAGGUUUCAGGCCAAUCGGAGUUACGGAUCUCCAUAUAUAUAUAUAUAUACGAAACGGUGAAACAGAGCCAGAACAGAACGCAGAACCAGAGAGAAACAGAGAGAUAGAUCCAAUCUCGGAGGGGCUCUCGCCCCUCCCAUGCCAUGGAGGCUAAGGACCAGAGGGGAAACCCUUCUCCCAUCUAGGGAGGAGGUCAAGGAAGAAGAGGAAGAAGGGCCCCCUCUCCCCCUCUCCUCCGGUGGCGCCGGAACGCCACCGUGGCCAUCAUCAUCACCGCGAUCUUCACCAACACCUCCACCAUCUUCACCAACAUCUCCAUCACCUUCCCCCCUCUAUCUACAGCGGUCCACUCUCCCACAACCCGCUGUACCCUCUACUUGAACAUGGUGCUUUAAGCUUCAUAUUAUUAUCCAAUGAUGUGUUGCCAUCCUAUGAUGUCUGAGUAGAUUUUCGUUGUCCUAUCGGUGGUUGAUGAAUUGCUAUGAUUGAUUUAAUUUGCUUGUGGUUAUGUUGCUGUCCUUUGGUUCCCAUCAUAUGAGCGCGUGCGUGGAUCACACCAUAGGGUUAGUUGUAUGUUGAUAGGACUAUGUAUUGGAGGGCAAGAGUGACAGAAGCUUCAACCUAGCAUAGAAAUUGAUGCAUACGGGAUUGAAGGGGGACCAAUAUAUCUUAAUGCUAUGGUUGGGUUUUACCUUAAUGAAUGUUAGUAGUUGCGGAUGCUUGCUAAUAGUUCCAAUCAUAAGUGCAUAGAAUUCCAAGUAAGGGAUAACAUGCUAGCAGUGGCCUCUCCCAGAUAAUACUUGCUAUCGGUCUAAUAAAGUAGUCAAUUUCUUAAGUGACAAUUUCGCAUCUCCUACCACCACUUUUCCACACUCGCUAUAUUUACUUUAGUUGCUUCUUUACCUUAACAGCCCCUAGUUUUAUUUUCGUGCUCUUAAUUAUCUUGCAAACCUAUCCAACAACACCUACAAAGUACUUCUAGUUUCAUACUUGUUCUAGGUAAAGCGAACGUCAAGCGUGCGUAGAGUUGUAUCGGUGGUCGAUAGAACUUGAGGGAAUAUUUGUUCUACCUUUAGCUCCUCAUUGGGUUCGACACUCUUACUUAUCGAAAAUUGUUGCGAUCCCUAUACUUGUGGGUUAUCAAGACCUUUUUCUGGCGCCGUUGCCGGGGAGCAAUAGCGUGGGGUGAAUAUUCUCGUGUGUGCUUGUUUGCUUUAUCACUAAGUAAUUUUUAUUUGCUGUUCUUAGUUGUUUCCUAUCUUCAGUUAUGGGUAGGAAACGCAAAAUACCAAAAAAAUUAGUUGUACCUACUGAACCAAUGGUUGAAGAACCAAUCAAAAUCUAUCACACUGCUGAAGCUUAGUACUUGGAUCAUCUUCGAUCCCUAUGUGCUCAUGCUGAAACCCCAACUAGCUUAGUUGAGGGCAAAUCAUUAGAUGAGCAUGCUUGUUAUGUGCGACACCGUAUAUCUAAAAAAGGGAAAUUAUUAUGGAGUCAGAUUCAACGUUUGCAAUGCUAUGCUUGGAAUUUAUGUGAAUUAUAUGAUUUUACUUGUUGUUCUGAAAACCCUAAGAAACACCUUCCCUACCAAUGUGAGUUUAUUGAUAAUGGAAUCUUAUCUUCUAAUGCUAAAGGUGUUUAUAGUUACUAUGAUGUUCAACAAAUUGAAGAAUUUGUUGCUUUAGAGGGUGCUUAUGAAAUUGCUUCUUUGAUUGAAAAGUAUGAUGCUACUUUUCAUAAAUCUAAAUUUUUUGCUAUACUUAAAUAUUGCUAUGAUAAUUAUGCUUCUAAUACGUAUGUUAAACAAUAUAUUGAGGAAUACUCCGCUGUCCAAGAAGAGACUAAUAUUUUGCAGGAAUCUAUGGAAGAAGAAGUUGAUGACACUAUGAGCUCAUUGGAUGAAAAAGAUGAGGAGGAGAGCGAAGAACAAAAGGAGGAAGAGCGGAUUGAUCACCCGUGCCCACCUUCUAAUGAGAGUAACUCUUCAACUCAUACAUUGUUUAAUUCCCCUUCGUGCUUACCGAAGGAUGAUUGCUAUGAUGAUUGUUAUGAUCCCUAUGAUUCUUUUGAAAUAUCCCUUUUUGAUGAUGCUUGCUAUGAUUAUGGCCAAGAUGCCAAUAUGAAUUAUGCUUAUGGAGAUGAACUUGCUAUAGUUCCUUAUGUUAAACAUGAAAUUGUUGCUAUUGCACCCACACAUGAUAGUCCUAUUAUAUUUUUGAAUUCUCCCGAUUAUACUAUAUCGGAGAAGUUUGCACUUAUUAAGGAUUAUAUUGAUGGGUUGCCUUUUACCGUUGCACAUGAUGAUUUCGAUAAAUAUAAUAUGCAUGUGCUUGCUGCUCCUACUUGCAAUUAUUAUGAGAGAGGAACUAUAUCUCCACCUCCCUAUGUUUCCAACAUGAUAAAAUUGCAAGAAACUGUUUAUACUAUGCAUUGACCUUUACUAGGUGUGCAUGAAUUGUUCUUUUAUGACAUGCGAUGCAUAGGAAGAGAGUUAGACUUCGUCAUUGCUUGAUAUAUGUUGCUUUGAGCUCACUACUAAAUUACAAAUCAUUGUUAAUUAAAAUUGGCUUUGAUAUACCUUGGGAUCCGGGUGGAUUCACUACUUGAGCACUUUAUGCCUAGCUUAAUGGCUUUAAAGAAAGCGCUGCCAGGGAGACAACCCGGAAGUUUUAGAGAGUCAUUUAUUUCUGUUGAGUUCUUUCAUAUAGUUUUAAAACAACAAAAAUAAAGAGGGGAACCCAAAACUUUUUCAAAAAGGAAAGUGAAAGUGAGAAAGACAAGCACUGUUGAAGUGGGAGAGCUCCUUGAACUUUGUUCAUGCUCACGGCAACUUUGUGAAUCUUGAUUACAUAAACUUUUCAACAAAAAUAAUUACCCCUUGUACAAUUCCAUUGUAUUAUAAAAAUAAUGUGCCAAGGUUUGCCUUUAGGAUGUUUACGAUGCGUGUUGGUUUGUACUGUGCAGGACAAAAACUUUGGCUGUAGUGCGCGAUUUUACAUUUUUAGCUGGAACGUCAAAUGGUUCUGAUUCUUUUUGCACUGUCUUCCUAUACAAAUUGUUUAUUUUUACUAAUUUUUGCAGAACUUUUCAAGUAUCAUAAGUAUGGUGAAUGUUCACAUUAUUACAGACUGUUCUAUUUUAGUCAGAUUCUGUUUUUGAUGCAUAGUUUGCUUGUUUUGAUGAAACUAUCAAUUUAUAUUAGUGGAUUAAGCCAUGAAAAAGUUAUAUUACAGUAGACACAAUGCAAAAACAAAAUAUGAAUUGGUUUGCAACAAUACUUAGAGUAGUGAUUUAUUUUAUUAUACUAACGGAUCUUACCGAGUUUUCUGUUGAAGUUUUGUGUGGAUGAAGUGUUCGAUGAUCGAGAAGGUCUCGAUGUGAGAAGAAGGAAGAGAGGAAAGAGCUCAAGCUUGGGGAUGCCUGAGGUACCCCAAGUAAAUAUUCAAGCAGACUCAAGCAUCUAAGCUUGGGGAUGCUGGGGAGGCAUCCCCUCUUUCUUCAACAAAUAUCGAUAUGUUUUCGGAUUCGUUUCGUUCAUGCGAUAUGUGCAAGUCUUGGAGCGUCUUUUGCAUUUAGGUUUUUCUUUUUCUUUUUAUGCACCAUGCUGGUAUGAGAUAGUCCUUGGUUGAUUUAUAGAAUGCUCUUUGCACUUCACUUAUAUCUUUUGAGUAUGGCUUUAUAGAAUGCUUCAUGUGCUUCACUUAUAUCAUUUGAAGUUUGGAUUGCCUGUUUCUCUUCACUUAGACAACCACCAUUUGUAGAAUGCUCUUUUGCUUCACUUAUAUUUGUUAGAGCGUGGGCAUAUAUUUUGUAGAAAGAAUUGAACUCUCUUGCUUCACUUAUAUCUAUUUAGAGAGAUGACAUGAAUUGGUCAUUCACAUGGUUAGUCAUACAAUCCUACAUAAAACUUGUAGAUCACUGAAUAUGAUAUGUUUGAUUCCUUGCAAUAGUUUUGCGAUAUAAAGAUGGUGAUAUUAAAGUCAUGCUAGUGGGUAAUUGUGGAUUGUAGAAAUACUUCUGUUGAGGUUUGUGAUUCCCGUAGCAUGCACGUAUGGUGAACCGUUAUGUAACGAAGUCGGAGCAUGAUUUAUUUAUUGAUUGUCUUCCUUAUGAGUGGCGGUCGGGGACGAGCGAUGGUAUUUUCCUACCAAUCUAUCCCCUAGGAGCAUGCGCAUAGUACUUUGUUUCGAUGAAUAAUAGAUUUUUGCAAUAAGUAUGUGAGUUCUUUAUGACUAAUAUUGAGUCCAUGGAUUAUACGCACUCUCACCCUUCCACCAUUGCUAGCCUCUCUAGUACUGCGCAACUUUCGCCGGUACCAUAAACCCACCAUAUACCUUCUUCAAAACAGCCACCAUACCUACCUAUCAUGGCAUUUCCAUAGCCAUUCCGAGAUAUAUUGCCAUGCAACUUCCAUCAUCAUCAUAUACAUGACUUAAGCAUUUAUUGUCAUAUUGCUUUGCAUGAUCGUAAGAUAGCUAGCAUGAUGUUUUCAUGGAUUGUCCAUUUUUUGAUGUCAUUGCUACGCUAGAUCAUUGCACAUCACGGUACACUGCCGGAGGCAUUCAUAUAGAGUCAUACUUUGUUCUAGACAUUGAGUUGUAAGUAAAUAAAAGUGUGAUGAUCAUCAUUAUUAGAGCAUUGCCCCAGUGAGGAAAGGAUGAUGGAGACUAUGAUUCCCCCAUAAGUCGGGAUGAGACUCCAGACUUUAAAAAAAAGAGGCCAAAGAAGCCCAAAUAAAAAAGAGGCCAAAGAAUCCCACCAAAAAAAAUAAUAAAUAAAAUGAGAGAAAAAGAGAGAAGGUGCAAUGUUACUAUCCUUUUACCACACUUGUUCUUCAAAGUAGCACCAUGUUCUUCAUAUAGAGAGUCUCUUGAGUUAUCACUUUCAUAUACUAGUGGGAAUUUUCAUUAUGGAACUUGGCUUGUAUAUUCCGAUGAUGGGCUUCCUCAAAUUCCUGAGGUCUUCAUGAGCAAGCAAGUUGGAUGCACACCCACUUAGUUUCAGUUGGAGCUUUCAUACACUUAUAGCUCUAGUGCAUCCGUUGCAUGGCAAUCCCAACUCACUCACAUUGAUAUAUAUUGAUGGGCAUCUCCAUAGCCCGUUGAUACGCCUAGUUGAUGUGAGACUUUCUCCUUUUUUGUAUUCUCCACAUAACCCCCACCAUCAUAUUCUAUUCCACCUAUAGUGCUAUGUCCAUGGCUCACGCUCAUGUAUUGCGUGAAAGUUGAAAAGGUUUGAGAACGUCAAAAGUAUGAAACAAUUGCUUGACUUGUCAUCGGGGUUGUGCAUGAUGUGAAUGCUUUGUGUGGUGAAGAUGGAGCAUAGCCAGACUAUAUGAUUUUGUAGGGAUGAGCUUUCUUUGGCUAUGUUAUUUCAAUAAGACAUAAUUGCUUGGUUGGUAUGCUUGAAAUAUUAUUGUCUUUAUGUCAAAGGAUAGAUUAUUGCUUUGAAUCACUCGUGUCUUAAUAUUCAUGCCAUGAUUAGACAUAUGAUCAAGAUUAUGCUAGGUAGCAUUCCACAUCAAAAAUUAUCUUUUUUAUCAUUUACCUACUCGAGGACGAGCAGGAAUUAAGCUUGGGGAUGCUGAUACGUCUCCGUCGUAUCUAUAAUUUUUGAUUGUUCCAUGCCAAUAUUAUUCAACUUUCAUAUACUUUCUGGCAACUUUUUAUAUUAUUUUUGGGACUAACAUAUUGAUCCAGUGCCAAGUGCCAGUUCCUGUCUGUUGCAUGUUUUUGGUUUCGCAGAAUAUCCAUAUCAAACGGAGUCCAAACGGGAUAAAAACGGACAGAGCUUAUUUUUGGAAAAUAUGGAAAAUUCGGAAGGAAAAUCAACGCGAACCAGUGCCCGAGGUGGUCACGAGGCAGGGGGCGCGCCCCUACCCUCGUGAGCCCACCGUAAGGUGGUUGACGCUCUUCUUUUGCCGCAAGAAAGCUAAUAUUCAGAAGAAAAAAAUCACGACGAAGGUUUCAGGCCAAUCGGAGUUAUGGAUCUCCAUAUAUAUACGAAACGGUGAAACAGAGCCAGAACAGAACGCAGAACCAGAGAGAAACAGAGAGAUAGAUCCAAUCUCGGAGGGGCUCUCGCCUCUCCCAUGCCAUGGAGGCCAAGGACCAGAGGGGAAACCCUUCUCCCAUCUAGGGAGGAGGUCAAGGAAGAAGAGGAAGAAGGGGGCCCCUCUCCCCCUCUCCUCCGGUGGCGCCGGAACGCCAUCGUGGCCAUCAUCAUCAUCACCAGGAUCUUCACCAACACCUCCGCCAUCUUCACCAACAUCUCCAUCACCUUCCCCCCUCUAUCUACAGCGGUCCACUCUCCCGCAACCCGUUGUACCCUCUACUUGAACAUGCUGCUUUAUACUUCAUAUUAUUAUCCAAUGAUGUGUUGUCAUCCUAUGAUGUCUGAGUAGAUUUUCGUUGUCCUAUCGGUGGUUGAUGAAUUGUUAUGAUUGAUUUAAUUUGCUUGUGGUUAUGUUGUUGUCCUUUGGUGCCCAUCAUAUGAGCACGCACGUGGAUCACACCAUAGGGUUAGUUGUAUGUUGAUAGGACUAUGUAUUGGAGGGCAAGAGUGACAGAAGCUUCAACCUAGCAUAGAAAUUGAUGCAUACGGGAUUGAAGGGGGACCAAUAUAUCUUAAUGCUAUGGUUGGGUUUUACCUUAAUGAACGUUAGUAGUUGCGGAUGCUUGCUAAUAGUUCCAAUCAUAAGUGCAUAGAAUUCCAAGUAAGGGAUAACAUGCUAGCAGUGGCCUCUCCCACAUAAUACUUGCUAUCGGUCUAGUAAAGUAGUCAAUUGCUUAAGGGACAAUUUCGCAACUCCUACCACCACUUUUCCACACUCGCUAUAUUUACUUUAGUUGCUUCUUUACCUUAACAGCCCCUAGUUUUAUUUUCGUGCUCUUAAUUAUCUUGCAAACCUAUCCAACAACACCUACAAAGUACUUCUAGUUUCAUACUUGUUCUAGGUAAAGCGAACGUCAAGCGUGCGUAGAGUUGUAUGGGUGGUCGAUAGAACUCGAGGGAAUAUUUGUUCUACCUUUAGCUCCUCGUUGGGUUCGACACUCUUAGUUAUCGAAAACUGUUGCGAUCCCCUAUACUUGUGGGUUAUCAUCUCUCACUAAAUUUCAAGGUAUAAGUGUUCUCCCUGAGUAUGCACCGUUGCUACAGUUCGUCGUGCUGAGACACCACAUGAUGAUCGGGUGUGAUAAGCUCUACGUUCACAUACAAUGGGUGCAAGCCAGUUUUGCACAUGCAGAAUACUCUGGUUAAACUUGACGAGCCUAGCAUAUGCAGAUAUGGCCUCGGAACACUGAGACCGAAAGGUCGAGCGUGAAUCAUAUAGUAGAUAUGAUCAACAUAGUGAUGUUCACCAUUGAAAACUACUCCAUCUCACGUGAUGAUCGGACAUAGUUUAGUUGAUAUGGCUCACAUGAUCACUUAGAUGAUUAGAGGGAUGUCUAUCUAAGUGGGAGUUCUUAAGUAAUAUGAUUAAUUGAACUUAAAUUUAUCAUGAACUUAGUCAUGAUAGUAUUUGCAUAUCUAUGUUGUAGAUCAAUUGGUCGUGUAUAGCUUCCCCAUUUUAUUUAUGAUAUGUUCCUAGAGAAACUAUGUUGAAAGAUGAUAGUAUCAAUGAUGCGGAUUGGAUCCAUGAUCUGAGGAUUAUCCUCGUUGCUGCAUAGAAGAAUUAUGUCCUUGAUGCACCGCUAGGUGACAUAACUAUUGCAGGAGCAAAUGCAGACAUUAUGAAUGUUUGACAAAGCUCGGUAUGAUAUCUACUUAAUACUUUAGUGCACCAUGCUUUACGGCUUAGAACCGGGACUUCAAAAAUGCUUUUGAACGCCACAGAGCAUAUAAGAUGUUCUAAGAGUUGAAAUUGGUAUUUCAUACUCAUGCCCGUGUCAAGAGGUAGAAGACCUCUGAUAGUACUUUGCCUACAAGAUGGAGGAGAAUAGCUCAACCAGUGAGCAUGUGCUUAGAUUGUCUGGGUACUUCAAUUGCUUGAAUCAAGUGGGAGUUAAUCUUCCAGAUAAUAUAGUAAUUGACAAAGUUCUCUAGUCACUAUCACCAAGUUACUAGAACUUAGUGAUGAACUAUAAUAUGCAAGGGAUGACGAAAGUAAUUCCCAAGCUCUUCGCGAUGCUGAAAUCGGCGAAGGUAGAAAUCAAGAAAUAGCAUCAAGUGUUGAUGGUUAACAAGACCACUAGUUUCAACAAAAGGGCAAAGGGAAAGAAAGAGGAACUUCAAAGAAGAAUAACAAGCAAGUUGUUGUUCCCAUGAAGAAGCUCAAAGCUAGACCCAAGCCUGGAACUGAGUGCUUCUACUGCAAAGGAAAUGGUCACUGGAAGUGGAACUGCCCUAGAUACUUGGCGGAUAAGAAGGAUGGUAAAGUGAAAAAAGUAUAUUUGAUAUACAUGUUAUUGAUGUGUACUUUACUAGUGUUUAUAUAAACCCCUCAGUAUUUGAUACUGGUUUAGUUACUAAGAGUAGUAACUCGAAACGAGAGUUGCAAAAUAAACAGAGACUAGUUAAGGGCGAGGUGAUGAUGUGAGUUGGAAGUGAUUCCAAGGUUGAUAAGAUCACCAUCGCACACUCCCUUUACCUUCGGGAUUAGUGUUGAGCCGAAAAUAAAUGUUAUUUGUUGUUUACAUAUAGCAUAAUAUGAUUGGAUCAUGUUUAUUGCAAUACGGUUGUUCAUUUAAGUCAAGGAUAAUUGUUAUUCUGUUUACAUGAAUAAAACCUUCUGAGGUCAUACACCCAAGGUGAAUGGUUUAUUGAAUCUCGAUCGUAGUAAUACACAUAUUCAUAAUAUUGAAGCCAAAAGAUGCAAAGUUGAUAAUGAUAGUGCAACAAUUUUUUGUGGCACUACCGUUUAGGUCAUAUUGGUGUAAAGCACAUGAAGAAACUCCGUGCUGAUGGGCCUCACUUGAUUAUGAAUCAUUUGAUGCUUGCGAACCAUGCCUCAUGGGCAAUAUGACUAAAACUCCGUUCUCCGGAACAAUGGAGCAAGCAACUGACUUAUUGGAAACAAUACAUACUGAUGUAUGCAAUCCGAUGAGUGUUGAGGCUUGCGGCGGGUAUCAUUAUUUUCUGAUCUUCAUAGAUGAUUUGAGCAGAUAUGGGUAUAUCUACUUGAUAAAACAUAAGUCUGAAACAUUUGAAAAGAUCAAAGAAUUUCAUAGUGAAGUGGAAAAUCAUCGUAACAAGGAAAUAAAGUUUCUACGAUCUGAUCGUGGAGGAGAAUAUUUGAGUUACGAGUUUGGUCUUCAUUUGAAACAAUGCGGAAUAGUUUCGCAACUCACGCCACCUGGAACACCACAGUGUAAUGGUGUGUCCGAAUGUCAUAACCGUACUUUAUUAGAUAUGGUGCGAUCUAUGAUGUCUCUGACCAAUUUAUCACUAUCGUUUUGGGGUUAUGCAUUAGAGACAGUUACAUUCAUGUUAAAUAGGACACCAUCUAAAUCCGUUGAGACGACACAAUAUGAACUGUGGUUUGGCAAGAAACCUAAGCUGUCGUUUCUUAAAGUUUGGGGCUAUGAUGCUUAUGUGAAAAAGUUUCAACCUGAUAAGCUCGAACCCAAAUCGGAGAAAUGCGUCUUCAUAGGAUACCCAAAGGAAACUGUUGGGUACACCUUCUAUCACAGAUCCGAAGGCAAGAUAUUCAUUGCUAAGAAUGGAUCCUUUCUAGAGAAGAAGUUUCUCUCGAAAGAAGUGAGUGGGAGGAAAGUAGAACUUGACGAGGUAAUUGCACCAUCUCCCUUAUUGGAAAGUAGUUCAUCACUGAAAUCAGUUCCAGUGAUUCCUACACCAUUAAGUUAGGAAGCUAAUGAUGAUGAUCAUGAAACUUCUGAUCAAGUUACUACCGAACCUCGUAGGUCACUCAGAGUAAGAUACACACCAGAGUGGUACGGUAAUCCUGUUCUGGAAGUCAUGUUACUUGACCAUGACGAACCUACGAACUAUGAGGAAGCGAUGAUGAGCCCAGGUUCUGCAAAAUGGCUUGAGGCCAUGAAAUCUGAGAUGUGAUCCAUGUAUGAGAACAAAGUAUGGACUUUGAUUGACUUGCUCGAUGAUCGGUGAGCCAUUCAGAAUAAAUGGAUCUUCAAGAGGAAGACGGACGCUGAUAGUAGUGUUACUAUCUACAAAGAUCGAAUUGUCGCAAAAGGUUUUCGACAAGUUCAAGGUGUUGACUACGAUGAGAUUUUCUCACUCGUAUCGAUGUUUAAAAGUCUGUCCGAAUCAUGUUAGCAGUUGUCGCAUUUUAUGAAAUCUGGCAAAUGGAAAUCAAAACUACAUUCCUUAAUGGAUUUAUUAAAAAAGAGUUGUAUAUGAUGCAACCAGAUGGUUUUGUCAAUUCUAAAGGUGUUAACAAAGUGUGCAAGCUCCAGCGAUCCAUCUAUGGACUGGUGCAAGCAUCUCGGCGUUGGAACAUACGCUUUGAUGAGUUGAUCAAAGCAUAUAGUUUUAUACAGACUUGCGGUGAAGCCUGUAUUUAGAAGAAAGUGAGUGGGAGCACUACAACCUUUCUGAUAAGUAUAUGUGAAUGACAUAUUGUUGAUCAGAAAUGAUGUAGAAUUUUCUGGAAAACAUAAAGGAGAAUUUGAAAGGAGUUUUUCAAAGAAAGAAUUACCUGUAAAGCUACUUACAUAUUGGGCAUCAAGAUCUAUAAAGAUAGAUCAAGACGCUUGAUAAGACUUUCAAUGAGUACAUACCUUGAUAAUAUUUUGAAGGAGUUCAAAAUGGAUAAGUUAAAGAAGGAGUUCUUGCCUGAGUUGUAAGGUGUGAAAUUGAGUAAAGACUCAAAACCCGACCACGGCAGAAAAUAGAAAGAGAAUGAAAAGUCAUUCCCUAUGCCUCAGUCAUAGGUUCUAUAAAGUAUGCUAUGCUAUGUACCAAACCUAUUAUAUACCUUAGCAUAAUUUUGGCAAGGGAGUACAAUAGUGAUCUAGGAGUAGAUCACUAGACAACGGUCAAAAUUAUCCUUAGAGGACUAAGGAAUAUUUCUCUGAUAUGGAGGUGAUAAAAGAGUUCGUCGUAAAGAGUUACGUCGAUGCAAGAUUUUUACAUCGAUCUAGAUGACUCUAAGUCUCGAUCUGGAUACAUAUUGAAAGUGGGAGCAAUUAGCUAGAGUAGAUCCGUGCAGAGUAUUAUAGACAUAGAAAUUUGUGAAAUACAUAUGGAUCUGAAUGUUGCAGACCCGUAGACUAAACUUCUCUCACAAGCAAAACAUGAUCACUCUUUGGGUAUUAAUCACAUAGAGAUGUGAACUAGAUUAUUGACUCUAGUAAACCCUUUGGGUAUUAGUCACAUGAAGAUGUGAACUAAUCACAUAAAGAUGUGAAUUAUUGGUGUGAAAUCACAUGACGAUAUGAACUAGAUUAUUGACUCCAGUGCAAGUGGGAGACUGAAGGAAAUAGGCCCUAGAGGCAAUAAUAAAGUUGUUAUUUAUAUUUCCUUAUAUCAUGAUAAAUUUUUAUUAUUCAUGCUAGAAUUGUAUUAACCGGAAACUCAGUACAUGUGUGAAUACAUAGACAAACUGAGUGUCACUAGUAUGCCUCUACUUGACUAGCUCAUUAAUCAAAGAUGGUUAAGUUUCCUAGCCAUGGACAAAGAGUUGUCAUUUGAUUAAUGGGAGCACAUCAUUAGAGAAUGAUGUGAUUGACUUGACCCAUCCGUUAGCUUAGCAUGAUGAUCGUUUAGUUUGUUGCUAUUCCUUUCUUCAUAUAACUUAUACAUGUUCCUAUGACUAUGAGAUUAUGCAACUCCCGAAUACCGGAGGAACACUUAGUGUGCUAUCAAACAUCACAACGUAACUGGGUGAUUAUAAAUAUGCUCCAUAGGUGUCUCCGAUGGUGUCUGUUGAUUUGGCAUAGAUCGAGAUUAGGAUUUGUCACUCCGAUUAUCGAAGAGGUAUCUCUGGGCCCUCUCGGUAGUGCUCAUCACUAUAAGCCUUGCAAGCAAUGUGACUAUAAAGAGUUAGUUACGGGAUGAUGCAUUACAGAACGAGUAAUGAGACUUGCCGGUAAUGAGAUUGAACUAGGUAUUGAGAUACCGCCGAUUGAAUCUCGGGCAAGUAACAUACCGAUGACAAAGGGAACAAUGUAUAUCGUUAUGCGGUUUGACCGAGAAAGAUCUUCGUAGAAUAUGUGGGAGAUAAUAUGAACAUCCAGGUUCCGCUAUUGGUUAUUGACCAGAGACGUGUGUCGGUCAUGUCUACAUAGUUCUCGAACCCGUAGGGUCCGCACGCUUAACGUUCAGUGACGAUUGGUAUUAUGAGUUUAUGUGUCUUGAUGUACCGAAGGUAGUUCGGUGUCCCGGAUGUGAUCAUGGACAUGAUGAGGAGUUUUGAAAUGGUCGAGACAUAAAGAUUGAUAUAUUGGAUGAAUAUAUUCGGACACCGGAUGAGUUCCGGGGGUCACCGGAUAAUUAUCGGAGUGCCGGGGGGUUAUCAGAACCCCCCGGGGAACUAAUGGGCCAACAUGGGCCUUGUGUGUGAGAAAGGAGGGGCCAUAGUGCUGGCCGUGUGCCCCCUCCUUGGGAGUCCGAAUUGGACAAGGAGGGGGGGGGGCCCUCUUUCCCUCACUCUCUCCUUCUCCUUCCUCCCCCUCCCUCCUCCUAGUUGGACUAGGAAAGGGGGAGUCCUACUCCUACUAGGAGGAGGACUCCCCCCCCUCGUUGGCGCGCCCCAUGGCCGGCCUCCCCCUUGCUCCUUUAUAUACGAGGGCAGGGGGCACCCUAGAACACACAAGUUGAUCGUUGAUCCCUUAGCCGUGUGCAGUGCCCCCUCCACCAUAAUCCACCUCGGUCAUAUCAUCGUAGUGCUUAGGCAAAGCCCUGCGAUGGUAGCUUCAUCAGCACCGUCAUCACGCCGUGGUACUGACGAAGCUCUCCCUCGACACUCGGCUGGAUCGAGAGUUUGUGGGAUGUCACUGAGCCAAAAGUGUGCAGAUUGCGGAGGUGCCAUACUUUCGGUACUAGGAUCAGUCGGAUCGUGAAGACAUAUGACUACAUCAACCGCGUUGUCAUAAUGCUUCCGCUUACGGUCUACGAGGGUAUGUGGACAACACUCUUCCCCUCUCGUUGCUAUGUAUCACCAUGAUAGAUCUUGCAUGUGCGUAGGAUUUUUUUGAAAUUACUGCGUUCCCCAAUAGGGUGUGCUAGUCUCCUUUGUGUACCCAAAUUAUGCAAUGACGCGGAUGACCACUGUAACCAGGGAAAUUCGAACCAAAAUUUUUGACGUUCAAACUCAUCACACAUGGGUUAAGCUAUCUGAAUCGUUUGUGAUGUUCAUAUAUCGUACACAGUUCUGAAUAAUGGACCGCGUCUGAUGACACUUUGCACGCUAGUUUUUUCACUGAAGCGAUUCCAAAAUUUCGGCUUCCGCGGAAAUAUCUACCUCCCCGCCCCUCCCCCUUGCCAAAAGCCACAUUUCCCCUGUUUCCGCCUUCCUUUACAAGUUGAAACCUUCACUCCUUGCUUGCAGCACCGCCUCCUCGCUGGUGACCCUCCUUCACGCUACUCAGCCUCGCCUAUCCGGGCAGGUAAACCACACCCGACCCCAUCUUCCUCCUCCUUCCACAUCCCACUUGCCCCGACCACCGGCGCGACACCUUCCACCCAAAUCACCAACCCCUCCACCAAAUAAGUGCCGCCCUAAGCCAUGGUGCGCAUAAUAUAUCCAGGAUCUCAAGGAGCAUUUGGCAGCGGAGAAGUAAAUCAUGGCCGCACACGCGGAUGAGGUCGCGAUGGCUUCCAUUCGUGUCGACCCCCAGAUCUUGGAGGAGCACUUCACCGUUGAUGCCACCAUCGACGCCUUGCAUGUCGAUGACGCAGCGCGGUUGGCUGUUUGGUUCAAUUCUACAAUGUGAUGUUCAAUUAUUAUGGGUGCAUUCUGUUAUUGUAUACCAUGUGAGAAAUAAAUUGAAUUUGGCUGUACUAAAUACAUGAUAAACAAAUACAAUUGCUAUAUUUCCAAGUUGUUAAGCAUGCUUGGUUUGAUUAAUUGUCUAAUCUUCUAUUAUGAGUAUGUUAUAUUGUGCAAUGUGGUGCUCAGUUAACGUUUGGUUCAUUUGUUGUGGUGUUUAACUGUUUUGUUUGGUUCAAUUCUGCAGUGCAUGCGAUGCUCAAUUGUUAUGGGUGCAUUUUAUUAUUGUAUACCAUGCGAGGAAUAAAUUGAAUUUGGCUGUACUAAAUACAUGAGAAACAAAUACAAUUGCUAUAUUUCCAAGUUGUUAAGCGUGCUUGGUUUGGUUAAUUGUCUGAUCUUCUAUUAGGAGUAUGUUAUAUUGUGCAAUGUGGUGCUCAGUUAAUGUUUGGUUCAUUUGUUGUGGUGUUUAGUUAACUGCUUGGUUCAAUUCUGCAAUGCAGUGUCCAAUUGUCGUGGGUAGAAUUUUGUAUUGUUGUGCAAGUGAGGAAUAAAUCGAAUUUGGCUGCACUUAAUACAUGAGAAACAUAUACAAGUGCUAUAUUUCCUAGUUCUUAAUCAUGCUUGGUUUGGAUAAAUGGGUUUUCCAUGUGGCUUGAAUUAAUCUAAUGAAUUUGCAAUGUUCUUAUUUUUCAUCAACAUGUUUUAUUGAUAGCAUGUGAACCCUUACUUAAGCUGAUGACUAACUACCUUAUAUGCGUUGUAGGGAAACAAUGGGGAGCACUGAGGUUUACAAUCGAGGUUAGCACGUGCAUGGUCCGUUGUCUAAUAGCACAUUAUUGUGCAAUUGCAGGAACCUUUCUAAUAUUUAGUUUUUUAACAAUUUGGUCUUGCACAUGUAGGUCCUGCUGUCAGAGGUUUUGACCCACUGUUCGACCCCUUUUGCAUAUGGGUAAAUGAGUUGUACAUCAAUAUUAGUCAAGUCAAGAAACUUAGAGAGGUUGUUAGGAUAAAGAAAUUAGCGACAAAAAACAACAAGAUCUUUGUCUGCACAAUGAAGAAGACAUCAGUUCACUACAGGAUGGUACUAACUAUUAUACCUUGCCUUUUUAUUCCUUUGCCCCAUUUCCAAUAUAGAGAAGAUAUUUAUGCACAUCCUUGUUUUCAAGCCUUUCCAAAGCAGUUCACUAAUGAUUACCUCUCAAACCACCUGUAUGGUCAGGAGGCGAGGAAGGUAUUCAUACAACACCCACAGUUCAAUAUUGAAGUGUUCCUGAAGAGGACGGAGGAUCGACGGUCAAUCAUCCACAUGCACUGGCUUAAAGUUACAAAGACCUUCAACAUCAAUGAAGGCUCAAUAUUCGCCUUCUGCUUCAGCAGUUUUCCAGAUGAGAUACAUCUGUCUAUGUACCAUCUAUGAUGCUAAUUUCGAAAGGUUAUAGAUGUUGCACGUGAAACUUGGUGCUGGUGUAGUUGUGUAAUGGGGUAGCUGAGUCCUGAAGCUAUAUGAUGUUGUACUCUGAUGUAUUUCAAUUAUGAAAAUGAAAUAUAUUGUGUGCUUAAUAUGAAAUGUCAAUUAGAUUAAUAAAUGGAUUAUUAAUAAUCAGAUAAUUAGCCUGCUAAUUGGGUUUUUCUAUUGCAAACAAUUAUUGAGAAAACACCAUGUGUGAUGCAUUCAAUAACGCACACAAUUUCUAGGAGUAAACCGUGUUGGAUCAAUGAAUAAUCACACACGACCUUCUCUUGAAAACUGUUUGCAUUAGGCCACCUUGCGCAAACGUUUACGACAUAAAAACUGUGUGUGAUGGACAACCUUUGCCACACAGUUUUUUCUACGCACCAUGUGUGAUGCAUUCAAUAACGCAAAUGAUAAAAUUGUCAAUAUCGUGUGCAAUGGCAACACUAUCACAAACGAUUUAAAGAGGAAAAUUGUAUGUGAUGUACCUGUGAACGGAAACGUUUUCCUUGAAGCGACUAUGUGGGAUGUACAUACAAACAGAAACGUUUAGCGGGAAUUGACUGUGUGGGAUGUACUUGCGAUCAAAAACAAUUUCGCCUGUAUAAUUGUAUUUUUUUAGCUCUAUUGUACGUAUUUCCGUACUUGAGCGCUCGCCGGUCGCACACGAACUCAUUUUGCCGAGCAUGUGUGCCAGGAGGGCAUAUACCCGAUGGUUUUUGGGUCGUGUGGGAAGGACCCCCCUAUCGCCGUCACUUACUAGGUAACGGUUCCAAAUGCCGUCGCGGAAAGGGGUUAAAAACCGUUUGUAUAGCACCUCGCUGUACUAGUGACUAGUAAUGAGACUUCUCCCACGUCCUCAAGAACAAGUAGAACUACUCACAACUCAUCAUAUUGAUCAUGAUCAAUGGUUAUAAAUAUAUGUUUAACAAUCUUAACAUAACAAUAUUCCACCAUUUAAACCAACUAGCAUCAACUACGAGAUGUAAUCAACACUACUAGCACCCCCAGGUACCAAUCUGAGGUUUGAUACAAAGAUUAAGAAUGAAAGAUGAACUAGAGUUUUGAGAUGAGAUGGUGAUGAUGAAGAUGAUGAUCCCAUGAUGAAAGGAGUGUUGGUGAUGAUGAAGGCUUCGAUUUCCCCUUCCCGGAGGAAAGUUUCCCCUGCAAAAUUGCUCCAUCGAAGAGCAAAAGUGUGUCGCCUCGCAGAUGGCGGCGGAAAGUCCUCAGAAUUUUGUUUGAUUUCGUCAAGGGUAAAUGGAAUUGAUGGCCAAAGGGCAUCGGGAGGCGAGGCACCAUGGCCCCAAAUGGGCAGGGGUGCAGCUAGGGGGUAGGCCGCGCCACCUGUCCAUGUGGCUGCCUAGUGGGUCCCUAAUAACCCACAAGUAUAGGGGAUCGCGACAGUUUUUGAGGGUAGAGUAUUCAACCCAAAUUUAUUGAUUCGACACAAGGGGAGCCAAAGAAUAUUUGUAGGUAUUAGCAGUUGAGUUGUCAAUUCAACCACACCUGAAAGACAUAAUAUCCGCAGCAAAAAAAUUAGUAGCAAAGUAGUAUGAUAGUAACGGUAACAAUGGCAAUAGUAGCAGUAGCAGUUUUGUAGUGAUUGUAGGAGUAGCAGCAAUGAAAGUAACUUAGCAAAGAUCAAUAUGUGAAAAGCUCGUAGGCAUUGGAUCAGCGAUGGAUAAUUGUGUUGGAUAAUAUUCAUGAUGUAGCAGUCAUAACCUAGGGCAACACAGAACUAGCUCCAACUCAUCAAUGUAAUGUAAGCAUGUAUUCCGUAUAUAGUCAUACGUGCUUAUGGAAACAAACUUGCAUGACAUCUUUUGUCCUACCCUCUGAUGACCCACAAGUAUAGGGGAUCAAUUGUAUAUCUUUUCGAUAAGUAAGAGUGUUGAACCCAAUGAGGAGCAGAAGGAAAUGACAAGUGGUUUUCCGUAAGGUAAUGUCUGCAAGUGUUGAAAUUGUAAGUAGCAGAGUAGUUUGAUAGCAAGGUAAUUUGUAACGAGCAAGUAACGAUAGUAGUAACAAAAUUGCAGCAAGGUAGCCCAAUCCUUUUGAGGCAAAGGACAGGCCAAAAUGGUCUCUUAUGAUAAGCAAAGCAUUCUUAAGGGUACACGGGAAUUUCAUCUAGCCACUUUCAUCAUGUUAGCUUAAUUCGUGUUUGGUACUUUGAUAAUUUGAUAUAUGGGUGGACCGGUGCUUAGGUGAUGUUCUUACUUGAACAAACCUCCUACUUAUGAUUAACCCUCCCGCAAGCGUCCGCAACUACGAGAAAAGUAUUAAGAAUAAAUUCUAACCAUAGCAUUAAACUUUAUGUUCAGGCCAAUAGAUGCGCUCGGGCUGAAGAAGGGAGGAAGUACCCCGGCAAAUAUGCCGGCGUGGAAACUGAUUCCACAGAGGAAGAUGCCGUCGCCCCAGCAAAGAAGGGCCGACGCUACAAUAGGAAGCGUAAGGGCAAGACCGUGCUUGCCGUCGAGGGAUCCAGCGACCCCGGCGCCGCUAAGAAGGCCAAGGUUGAUGACUCCAACAAAGAAGUUGCUGGGUGCGCCGCCUGCCGAGCCUUGGCGGCUGCCGACAAGCUGGGAGGCUCCGACAAGCAGUACUGCAAGAUCCACUGCACCAAGGGCCAUGACCUCCAGAAUUGUCGGUAGGUUGAGCUGCUUGCAGAGAAGCAGAAAGCUGAGUAUGAGAGGCGCGAUAAGGAGAAGGGCCAAGAUGGUGCUGAGGCGUCCGGCAAGAAGCGUGGCGGUCGAGGAGGUCACCGCGACAAAGACAAUCAACAAGAGAGGCCCACUCGGGGCCACAACAAGAAGGAGGGAGACGAUGAUCAUGAUGAGGACGACGAGUCCGGCGAGCAUGAGUUCCAAAAAGCUACGAAGGCCAUGUGCGUCGACGGUGGCGCCUCAUUGCACACCUCUCACCGCCAACUGAAGCAGUGGGCGCAUGAAGUCACUGCAGAGGAGCCAUCGUUCGAUGCCUAGAGGUUGCUAAAGUGGUCCAACACGCCUAUCAUUUUUGACACCGAGGAUCACCCUGAUCGCACAACUGCGGUUGGGUAUUUGCUGUUGUUGGUUUCACCAACAAUAUGCAACCUCAAGGUGACGAAAGUGCUAGUUGACAGUGGGGCCGGUCUGAACUUGAUCUCGCCCGCCGUGAUCGAGAGGCUGCAAAUCCUCGAUGGAGAUCUCUAGGAGACGGAAGCGUCCCAAGGGGUCAACCCAGGGAGGAGUCAGUCGAAGGGUAAGAUCACAUUGCCCGUUACAUUUGGGGGCGAGUUGAACCAUAGGACGGAGAAGGUUGUUUUUUAUGUUGCCAAGAUCCCCUUGCCCUAUAAUGGGAUCCACGGCCGCCCAGCGCUGGCCAAGUUUAUGGCGGCAUCACAUUACGCCUACAACACGUCGAAAAUGCCCGAGCCAAUGAGCAUCAUCAUCGUCCCCUCCGCUAGGAAAGAUGCGCUCAUCUGCGCCGGCCAGCUUUACCGGGAGGCAGUUGCAGCGGCUGCCGCCAAGGCACCUGUUCCCGCCACUGAGACCCUGGGAGGGAAGAAAACCGGCAAGAUCUCUACUCCUGCCGGCAAGGCCCCUUUCGGCAAGACUGCUGACCCCAGCAAGGACUCCUACGCCCCCUCCCGCAAACACGCCUCUUCGGAGUGCCGUGUUCCCAUUGAGGACAUGCCAGGAAGUUCAGCUAGCGGGAGUAAGAGGUCCAAGGCAGCCCCACCAGAAACCAAGAAGGUUCCCGUCAGAGAGGAUGGCACGGGUGGAGCUUUUACCAUAAGCUCCACCCUUGAAAGCAAAUAGGAAAGUGUGUUCAUCACCUUCCUGCGGGUGAAUAUUGACGUGUUUGCACGACAAGCAUCCGACAUCCCCGGCGUUCCCAGGGAGGUGAUUGAGCACCACCUUGUUGUCUGUCCCCAUGUGUGGCCUGUCAAGCAGAAGGUCAGGAAGCAAGCUUUGGAGCGACAAUGGUUCAUCAUCGAGGAGAUCAGGAAGUUGGAGGCAACAAGCUUGGUCAGAGGAGUUCUCCACCCCACGUGGUUGGCCAAUCCAGUGAUGGUGCAUAAGGCAAAUGGGAAAUGGAGGCUGUGUAUUGACUAUACAGAUAUCAAUAAAGCAUGUCCAAAGGAUCCUUUCCCUCUACCACACAUUGACCAGAUAGUGGACUCCACUGCCGGGUGCGACCUGCUGUCGUUCCUUGAUGCCUACUCAGGAUACCACCAGAUCUUCAUGAUGAAGGAAGACAAAGAAAAAA
RNAcentral lists this long non-coding RNA (81833 nucleotides) under Triticum aestivum (bread wheat). RNAcentral's name for it is "long non-coding RNA (TAES_LNC025373)". The stretch from base 31409 to 31480 matches the Rfam family "tRNA". The record is from RNAcentral. Lineage: Eukaryota; Viridiplantae; Streptophyta; Magnoliopsida; Poales; Poaceae.